RNAcentral lists this long non-coding RNA (60838 nucleotides) under Triticum aestivum (bread wheat). The record is from RNAcentral. Lineage: Eukaryota; Viridiplantae; Streptophyta; Magnoliopsida; Poales; Poaceae.
UGAUUCCUUAUUCUGAUUAUCAUGGAGAAAAGGGGAACAUGAACUUUAAUGGGUGUUAACCAACUAGCAUGCAAUGAUUAAUUGUGAUUACGUGUUCGAGAAAGACUAAUUUGUGCUUCCUAUUUGAAUUUGUUUGAAGCCUUUUUGGUAAAAGCCAUGGUAACUUUAACUAAACUCUCCCAGGUCUGGUGGAAAUUUAUGUACCAAAGUCUAAUUACAUGUUUAUAGCUUUAGUGACGUAGGAAGAAGCACACUGACCUCUCUGUUGUGUUUCAGUUUGGGAGACACACCGGGAGAUGAAACCGCUAAUGAGCAAACUCGCAGAGGCUGGACGAGGACGUCGGCAACCACCUGACUCUUAAACUUGUGUACAUAUGCAUCACCUUAAGCUAAUUGCUGCCCAUUUUUGCCCCAUACCUGUGUACAUUUACAUAGAACAUCACAGUAAAGAAAUGUUUUUUUUACCGAUUUUGGUUGACAUGUGUUGUUCUUGUUACCUGACAAAGUUCAUUGUUUUGCUUAGAAUUAACUGAUUAUCGAGGCGCCAUGUAACCAAAUGUUUUUUUUCUCUUUUUUUGCUGCUGGAAGCACAAUUUUUGGGCUGACCUAACAACAAAUGGUGACGGCAGUGUGCUUGUCUGACUGUUGUUCGGGGUCCUGCUUCAGCGAUGCCGUUGUAGUGAGUAUGAGUGAUGUAAAUGCUCCUGCUGUUAUUAAUAAAGAAAGGCAUUUUUUGUUUUGUUUUUUUAACUGCUUGUCUUUGGGUUGCUUUUGUUGUUGGUGCUGCAUUGAGAGGAUUAGGAAUAACGCGUAGGCCAACUUCCGAGAAAAUGAAAUGUCAUGCUUUGUGGACGGAUCCUUCCUGCAUAAAUUGAAAAGUCGAUUUGUUUUGUACCGAGCAAAUCAAGUCAUAUACAUCAAUCUAUUACAGGUUCUAGAAUUUAAAAACUGCAACAACAAAAAAAGUUCUGUCCCGAUGAAGCUUGAUUAGACAUUGGGUGGUAGCGAAUGUGUGUAGAUUGAGCACCAUGGUUACCACUCCAAGCGCUGAGCCGAGAGAACAGUAUACCAUGACACCGUCGCAAAUUUUACGAAGACAAGAUAUCAACGUCAUUAACAUCUCAUCGUGUCAUAAGAAGACAAGAUAUCGACGUUAACAUCUUGUCGUGUCAUAAAAAUACAGCACGAUAACUAAAUUGGAAAUAUUUGCUAUGAACUAUGCCAAAUAUCUACUACUUCCCUUCUCUAUCUACUUUAUCUAUCUAUAUAUACUAUUUAAAAAAAGAGUAGUGUUCCUUUUUCUGUCAGCAUAACGCUUCGUCUACCGGUUCUCUCCCUUCCCACCAUGUCUCUCGAUCGAUUUUUUUUGUUUUUUGUCCCAUCACAUCCUUUGUCCGCACCUUACCCAGUAUGCUAAUCAAUCAUCUUAAUUUACUUAUCUUUGAGAUCAAUUGCAUAUUAAUUUACUUACCAAACAUUUUAUCAAAUUAUAACACAGAUGUCGGGGGCUCUGGGACCGGGGGUACCCAGGCCCGUCUGCCUGCGGCCCAUGCGUGCCAUCGUCAAAGGCCCAGUACGGCCCAGCGCCACGUCUUCAUGAGCAAUACCUUCGUGAGGGCCCUCGUCUCCUGAGGUGGCCUCACGAGGGCGGAUACUCCUAGGCUCGCCACCCAGCCUCAUGAGGCGCGUGGUGACCGUGAGCCAUGAUGAGCGGAGCCAGGAGGGCGCCAGCGGGCGCAGGCAAGGACACUUUUCUCUUUGGUGCUAAGGAGGCAAGGACGUACACGGGUUCCCGAGGAAUCCCCCAAAGGUUGCCAUUCUGGUGCAACGAGACCAAGACCACGGGCACGUCAGGACGGAGGUCAUCACCGAGCCCACCCGCGCGUCACGGCCAGAAGCUUUGCAGGCGAAAACCACCUUUUAGUCAAGAUAAGGGGUACUACUUUCCUCCUUCAAAAUUGGCCGCUGUGGUAUCCCUUCCCGCCUAGAGCCUUGGGGGAAGAGGAUCGGGCCAGUAUAAGUAUAGGCCAGCCUCCACCGUAGAGAGGGAGGGAGAGAGAAGUGAGAUCGGUAGAGACCACCGAAUCCAUUCACCCCCCGAGCCCUCGCGAGGCAGCUCACCCCUUGUACUAGUUCGUACUCAUCCUCCUCGCGAGGCAAUCCACCACAAAGUAGGAAUAGGUUCUUACACCGCAAGGUGCCCCGAACCUGGGUAAAUCAUCGUGUUCCUUUCUUCUUCCGCUCGCUCAAGCACGACGGAGCAUCGCCGUGGGGGAGUGAGCAGCAAGCCAUAGCCUAGCGGAGUCCUUCGCGCACGCCCAGAGUUCGCCCGUAGUAUGGGUAAGUAAAUCACAAACUAACAUAUUAGGAUAUUUAUAUCAAACUAAAAGUGAACAAUGAUAUUUUCCUUUUCCUGUUUGUCAUUGUGUUCAUCAGAUUUCGGUUUCUUUUUUUGUGGGAUCGAGUAUUAACCCAUGACUUAAGGUUUGAACAUUUUCAUCAUCCUGGCAAAGCCAAUUUGACUAUCACCUAAUGCAAUCAUUACUUCAAAUGUAAGACCCAACAUGCAUAUAAAAAUUGGGUAGAAAGUACAAUCUUGCAUACUGUAGACAUAAUAUGAAAGUACAAUGUUUUAUUAUUUAGUAGUGAGUAGCCAAUGGUUAAUAAAUUUGCACUUCUAGGUACAUAUAAAUUUUAUAGAUGUAGUGAAAGCAGAGGCAUUCACAUAGUUGCAAUAUAGAGGCUAAUUUUCAUCACAAGAGUGCAAAAAUGAUAUAGGAGCAAACAUUUUUCAAACAAGUGUCUUAUCACAAUAUGCUUUAAAACGUACUUCAUUAAAAUGUGUAGAUCGAAUGGAUAUGUAAUAUCAUGUCACUAAAAUUACACUUUUUUUAUUUUCGGAGCACACGUGGUCAUAUCUUUGCACAACAUGUCGUGUACUUUCUUGUGUGACCUUGUACUUGUUGUAGCACAAGAUUCCAUUAACUGUUUUUUUCCCACACUUUACACUGUGUAUACAAAAUCACUUUGCAAAUAUAGAGCAUGGGUGCCAUGUGUGGGCUCAAAAAUCUUGACAAAAUGUUAAAGCAACUCUUACGUAACCCCCAUUUUCGCAAGCAAGAAGUGGCAGAGUUCGAGCACAGUUGCAGGAAGCAGCGACGAUCACCGAAAAUGGGGGAGAGUUGUGUUUCUCCCCAUACAUGGGGGUGGAAUGAGGUGGGACGGGAAAUAUCAACGAAAAAGUUGGUUACAUGAAUGUAAGACAACAAAGGCUAUAACUAUGCCAAGGGGCCUCAGAGUGGUGGAAGAGCUGGGAUGCAAGCAUGUCAUAAUGGAGACAGAUUCCCUAGAGAUUAUACAAGCAUGCAAUCGAGUAACCGAAGUGUGAAGUUCCUAUACGACAAUUCUUGCAGACUGUUUUCGGAGGGUUCAUAGAAAUCGGCUCAAUGAUUUUCACUCGCUGCCUUAGGGAAGCUAAUCUGAUGUCACAUAAUAUUUUCAGAUGUGUGCAUGACUCAAAAGCAGGCCCGAGCCCAUGGGUGUGCCCAAGGUUGUCAGAAUCGUGAUUUUGAAUCGGAUCGGAGCUCCAAUGGUAGGAUCGCAAAUCGUAGAAUCUUCACUAUUAGGAUCGUAGAAACGUAGAUUCUAUGAAGUAAAAUCGUAGAAUCAUAGGGGUUAGUUUGGAUCAUAAAGUCGUAGAAUCGUAUAACAGAAUCGCGAUUCUGACAACCUUGGGUGUGCCACCUGUGCGCCCGCACAGGGCCUCCACUUUCCAGGGGCCCCGAUUUUCGAAACUGCAGCCCACUGCACACGAGCGGGCCCAGUGGCUGGCUGGCAGCUUAAUUCACUUUUGGGCUGUGCAUGCAAUGUGCGAGAUGAAGUAGCCAGCAGGCCACCGAUUCGAUUCAACAGCCCAUAGUCCCCUGUCAAACCGUUCGUUUCGAGGAGAUCCAAACCUCCGGCGACCACGCUGCAGUGGCGGCUCGUGAUCUUCUUUUCCUCUCUUCCUCCGCGAUGCUGAUCGAGUCAUCAGUCAGGACGACACCACCAAAAACUUCUUCUUCCUCCUCGAACACGUGACGAAGGCAUCCCAAAGAUCACAAUUUUUUUAUUCUACUAGGUUUGUUCGUUUUUCUCCCUACUCUCCAUCUGAUUCCAUAGUAUUGCUCCCUUAGUUCUCCCCUAAUCCUCAUAUUCAAUACGUUUUAGAGAGAGUUCAAGAAGGUGGGCAGCGGAAAGGGAUUGUUGGCAGCCACAUCUUUUGGGGCUGUCCAACUCUCCAAAGGCAAGGUCCCGUGGGAUUUGGAUUCGUGUUAUUAAGGCAUGGUUUUAUUCUUGCAGCAACAGCACAACAGGACAUAGGCGACAGACCUAGUCUUGAUCCUUCAGGUGCUUUUAUUUCAACUUCAUUUUAUAAGUUGCGUAUUUUCAGUGUCAUCUUUCAUACUAAGAUACCAUGUACAAAGUAAUGUCUGGGUACAGAAAGAAAAUGUACCAGCUGUUUGCUUCAAUUCAACAUUGUCAUAAUAAGAUGAUGAGUAGUUUCCAUCCGGUUAUUAUAUAGUAUAACUUAUGAGAAAAGAUAAUAUUUAUAUGAUAUGUUCAAUAUUGUAGUUGUUACUGAAAUAUAAGCAAGCCUUCUAAAAAUAUAUAUGUGGAGAGGCCUCAUUUUAUCAAAUUGACAGAGAGGCUCACACGUGUCAAGACUAGGCCUAGAUAUACUAUUGCUAGUUUUAUAAAGAUAGGCCUCAUUUUAAAGUUUGGCACAGGGUUCCUGAUUUUGCCGGCUCAGCCCUGCUCAAAAGUAGUGGUGGGUGGAACAUCAAUUCUCCUAGCUUUGUUUUACCGGACAUUUUGUUCGAUACAACUGUCAUUUGAGCAUGAACAAAGUGCGCACAAGGCCAUUCCCUAAAAAAUGAGGAGUUGGUUAAAAUAAGUGUAUAUUUUAGCUUUUUCUAGUCUAAGUGUAUUUUUAGCUGCCCCCAGCCCGAAGUAGAGACGACAAGGAGAUGUGGCAAACAGCUAGAUUUUUUACACUUCGACAAAGAGAGGAAGACGGGACCAAUGCAUUUUUUUUGCCUACUCUUUACACUGUUUUUCUUUUUAGCGGAACCCUCCUCGUACCGGAUAGAAUGGGCCUUCACAAAGCAGAAGGUGAAGCCCAAAGAGGCCCUAACCAUCCAAACCCUCCCCCGAACCCUAGCCCACCAGUCUCUCCUAUAUAAGCUGAAGGUUCCUAACUUCACAAUGUAACCUAUCGGCCGACCAACUUCCUCCCCUUGCGCCGCCGUCCCCUCCCCCAUGAGCAGUUGAGCACGAUGCAUCUCUUCUUGUAGCCCCUGAGCUACAAGUUCGCUUGUUUUUGCUCGUCGUUUUCGCUCUUGCCUUUUAUUUUUGGCUCAAUCUUGUUGGCGGCUGUGAUGCGCAACGGUAAAGGGAUUUUCUGAGGGACGGGAACUUAGUUUUCCUCCUCCUGAUUGAGAGAAACCAAUGGAUCCUUCUGAGCCUGCCCAAUACACCAAUGUUUUACUGAUUUUUUACUGUUUCUUUUCUGCUUUCGGUUCUCCCUGGGAUGUUUUCUUGUAUCUUGCUUCAAAGGCGAUUAUUCUUUGCUUUGGUUGAGGUGAGGAUAAACCUGUACAGAAACUUGACUGUUGUGUUGACCAAAAUACAGACUACAAUUAUCUGAUCAACCGAAAAAAGUUAUUGCUUCUGUCUGCAUCUUCAUUUCUGUUUUGAAUCUGUGCCGUGCACAACAAGCCGAUGCUCUGGAUCGAGGGAGGAAGGAAGCAUGGUACUGUGCACGGAGAGUACCGAUACAGGUGGUCUGCAUAUGUCUGCUCGUCUUGACGCCUUCGGGCUUUGAUCUCGCGGGCCUGGAUUUGACCAACAUUCAUUUACUUGUUUGACUUCUUGAGAGGGAGACCUUGUUUGCUUGGUGCUCAUGGGAUUAUGUCUUUGGGAACGAUUGUGCUUGUUUGAUGUUGAAUCAAAGGCUGGCUUCGUCGCAAUAGUAACAAACGAAGAUUGUAUUUAUGUCCAACAGCAAACUUAAAACAGCAAGACAAAGUUUCUUGCAGCAAGCACUGCACUUUUUUUCAUUACUGGCACCACGUUCAUUUUUUGAUUAAAAUGAAACGAAUUCUAAACACAUAAAUAACUAUCCCACGCCCAAAUACAGAAAGCUAAUGGCUCCCUAAUAAAUUGUUAAUAAAAUGAAGCAAACAAUUUUGUUUCUGGAAUACAGCUUCCCACCGAUGGAUUUGGGCUUGCCUUAAGGGCAUGUACGAACGUGCCGGUUAAGCUGUCGUCAGAACUUACAUUGGACCGUAUCAAAUAUACAACCUUGACAUCUCAUGGUCACUUUUGACAUUCAUUAAUUAUAUCUCAUAAUUGAAAUAUUUAGUAAUUGCAACGUAAAUACAAUCUUGUCACAAUGGUCAUAUUGGUGAAAUAAUUAAUGUCAUCUUUGAUUGCACCAUGUUAUACAUAGCUUGAUUACAUCUAUUCAAAACACUCUACUCUUAGUAUUGUUUCUAGGAGGUGCAAGCUAUAAAACAGACAUUUGCUAAAUUCGUAACUCAAAUAUACUUUUCAACAAUCCAAUUGUAGAAACAUAGUUUUCUUGUUGCAAUAAUUUCUACUUUGUUUUUAGAAUUUUUUGAAACAUUUCAAAAGAUCUAGAUUUAUGUCUCAAUUAGUAAAUAUAAAUACCUACUUCGGUCAUCCUUGAAGAUAGAUAAAUCCUUUGGUUUUGUUCUUUAAGUUCUUACCAUCAACUCAUGACUGGAGUUCUUACGGAUCUUACAAAUUUUAGUCUCAAACAUAGUUGAAUGCUUCACUAGAACUUGCAAGCAAAUCACUUCUUUAGAUAAUAUAUAUCUUUUAACCUUUGUUUGUUUUUGAAAACAAUUUUUAGUUGCAAAAAUAUCACAUAACUAUUCCAAACAUUUUGAAAUUCAGGUUUCUUGGAAGCAAGUAAACCGUAAUGUAAUUCUUAGCCUUUUGGAUUGAAAGACGCAAGUAUCAUCAUCCAUAACAUUAGCAGGAGAACAUUGGAAGUAUGCAGUAAGGAAAAAUCCUUCUUGACACUCUUAAAGGACAAUCCUCUCAAUCAUAAAAGAUUCAACUAGAUAAAUAACAAUCAAUCAAUUUCAACAACAAAGGUGGAAUUGUGAGCCAUAAUUUUAUAAUUAUAUUGCAAACUACACAUAGACAUUGUUCAUAAUUAAUUUGCACUAGUGAUUAAACCUAAUUAAUACAUAAUUAUGCUCCCACUCAAAUCAAUAUAUCUCAUAAUUGAUAGUGAGUGACUGAAGAUCUAAAUCUAGUUCGUAGCCAUUGAUGACGAGAAUUUUGACCAAUGGGCAAACUUUUGCCGAUCAUAUCUCAAUAUCAAUCUUGUUCAUCUUUUGAUGCUUGAUUUUCCGAGCUCAGAACGAUUCUGUCAAAACUUCAAGAUAAUUGAGUACUAUCUGCAUGCAUUGUCUGACCAUCUUCGUCUUACACAUCUCAUCUCGUUUGUACUCAUGUGGGAUGUACUCUGAGAUGCUAGAAUGUCGUAGAUGGUUGCAACAACGGGAAGAGCACUUUUAAUUUUUAUUUUAGUUGUGAGAGAUUACCCUAAUAAUUGACUACUGCGCAAUCAAAGGGUGCGAACAAAAAAGGAAUAAACAUCUCAGGCAAUUCAUAAAAGUAUGAUAUGGUAUAGCCCUAGGCGCCGGGAAUCCUUCAUGCCCAUCUUCAAUCUUCAGUUGAAGCGUCGUGACGGCCAAUAUUUUGUUGUCGUGGCAACCGUUUUAAAAAUGCUGCUGUGGCGGCAAUUUUAGAAAACGUUGCCGUGGCGACCAUUUCAGAAAACGCUGUCAUGGUACCAAAUUUAACAAUUUUACCGUGGCACGGAAUUAUAGCUCCUCGUCCCUCCCCUUAGUACACCUUCUCCACUUCGGGGUCCUCCGUGUACGCUUGCCAUCGUCGCCUCUAACUUGUAGGGUAUCUCUAUGAUAUUUACAUUAACGUGGCAAUUUCGUUGCUCCAACCAUUAGUUAUGUGGUUAACCAGUUUUAACAAUAAUAUUAGCUACCUACGUCCACAACAUAAGACGAUAAUUCUUGAUGCUAGAUUAAGUUUCGGGGUGAGUGAAAGAAGAGACUUAAUUAAAAUCUCUAGUCCCAUACUAAACUUCGUCUAAUACGCAUGACCCCUUAGAAGAUCAUCCAUCUACGGCACUCUCUUGUGUACGCUGGUUCACUAUUCUCGACUAUGAUGAAGCUCUAAACUGUUAGCAAAGAAGAUCAUCCAUCUACGACACUCUCUUGUGUACGCUGGUUCACUAUUCUCGACUAUGAUGAAGCUCUAAACUGUUAGCAAAUCAUCGACAACCAGAGUUGAUCGAUUGUUAGAACCUUGUAGCAAAGCUACAUCAUACUAUCGAUGAAUUGAACCGAAGCAACACUCGAGGGAAGCAUGGCAAGGACAUCAAACUCUCACAUCCACAUGUGAUCUAGAUUGCAACCUGCAUCUACUGAGCAUCUCCAACAGGCGCCGGUCGCGCCGCGCGCAAAAAACAGAUAUGCCACGCGCGCAUCGCCUGGUUUGGCGCGGUGCGCAGCGCUGGCUCCAGCAGCCGCGCUAAAAUGCAGCGCGCGUGCGCCGCUCCAGCAGCGCGCAAAAAUGCAGCGCGCGCGACUCGCCGGUGCAUUGCAUAUGGCAUUUUUAACAUAAAAUGAUAAACAUUUUCAACACAAUAAAAAUUGCACACAAACAAGUUGAUGAAGUUCAUGCCCACAAGUUUAAAAUCAUGCCCACAAGUUCAUCCAACCAAGUUUAAAAUGCAAAUCAAGUUCAAUACACAAAUGAAAGACACAUCAUUCCUUGUCCUCGUCCUCGUCUUCAUCCUCGUCCUCAUCUUCGGAAGACGAUGCUUCCGCCUCCGAAGAGGAAUCUUCCUCCCUCUCCUCAUCGCGCACCGCAUCACGUGAAGCUCCGACGAUGUUGGCAAGAUCUUCAACGACAUCUUCAUGGGAAUGUGUGCGAGGAGGCACAUCAAAAGACAUUCCGCCCAUGGCGGCCGAAGGUGCACCCAUGCCUCCCAUGGUGGCCAUAGCGUCGGGGGGUGCUCCAAAGCCAGUCAUGCCUCCCAUUGCACCUAAACCGCCCACGGUACCUCCGAAGCCACCCACGCCACCCAUGGCGCCGAGGCCACCGCCACCCAUUGCAUGAACGAUGGCUCUUUUUUGGAUCAAGACUUCUUCUUGGACAAGAUUGACAUACUCCUUUUGCGCCGCAUUGAGGUUAGUUGUGUCCAAGAAGAACAAGUGCUUCUCCCAUUCCAACAAUCUAGUUUGCUCCUCAUUGCUCACCUUCCUCUCCUCCAAAGCCACCUUCCUCUCCUCGGCCACCACCCUCCUCUCCUCGGCCGCCAACCUUCUCUCCUCGGUCGCGGCAUCUUGGGUCCUUGCCAUUUUCCUCACCUCAUUGGCUUCUUUUCUUGCCUUCACAAUAGCUUCCAUAGCAUUUUUGAGCUCAUCAUCUCCUUUCCUCUUCUUCUUUUCGGUUUUGUCUUUCUUGCACCCAUCCGGUCGCUUUGGCUUCGAGUAUGAAACCGAGUUGGGUGCGGGGCUUCUCUUGCCGUCAUCACUUGAUGCAUCAUCCUCAUCAUCAUCAUCAUCCAACUUAAUUGUUCGCUUCCGUUUGUCGCUCAAAUGCAAAUCAUCCAAAUCUUCACGCUUCUUCCAUUUCUCAUCAUCCUUCAACACUUCAUAGCAAUGAGGCAAAGUAAAUACCCUUCCUUUCUUGAUCUUCCCCUUCUUGGUUUUCCUCUCCUCUUCUUUGAACAAGUUUUGCGCAAUGUUGUACUACAUGAAAACAAAGCAAGUUAGCACCAACAACAAGCAAAACAAAGCAAGUUAGCACCAACAUGUAAGAUGAAAUGGCACUUACUCUAUCGUCCUCAUUUGUGCCACUUGGGUUCAACUUGUCAACCUCCUUUUGACAGGCCGCCCACCUUUGACAAUCCGAGUUGAUUAUCGACCACCGGGACCUAAGUGAUCGGUUGGAGCGGUCAAUUCCACUCAUGUUGCGAGCAUCAAAGUGUUCCUUCAUCCGGUUCCAAUAAGCAUCUCUACUUUGAUCACCUCCAACGGAUGGAUCCCUCGACACUUGCAACCAAGUAUUGCAUAGUAAGAUGUCAUCGGCGUUGGUGUAAUUGCCCGCUCUUCCUUUCGGUGCGUCAACAAUGCCCUCACCCUCCUCGUCCACCUCGAACUCAUGGUCUUCAAAAUGCAUGUCAUUGGUUUGAGACCAAUGCGAAUUGUUGGAGCCAACACCCAUCGUUGACAUGUAUGCAUCAUCAUUGAGACUACAAUUUUUUUGCACAAUGCAAAUAAGCUAUCUAUAUGUGACGAAUGCAUUCAAAAAUAACAAAAAAAAUGAAAAGUUAGAUUUUUUUACCUUGGAGGCAUUUCAUCGAACAUGUUGUGCGCGUCGGCCGCCGGCUCAAGGAGUGAGCUUGCCGGCGCUUCGGCAGCCGUCGCGCCUGUCGCACGCCCCGCAAGCUUCUUCCUCGCCUUGGAGGUGCGGAGCCGUCCGCCACCUUGUUUUUCUUCGCCGAUGUCUUGCCCUUUGGCCGCGCCGCAUUAGGGAGCUUUGAGGAGGAGGGGGCGGCGGCUCGGGCCGGCGCCGGCGCGACGCCACCCGCCGCCGAGGUCAUCCGCGGCGACAUGAAGAGGCCACGCGCGAGGCCGCUGGUCGGAGGAGCUCUGGCAGAGGCGAGGCCAACGCCACCCGGGCUAGGGUUUGUGGCGGCGGCGACGGGGGCGGGGGGGUCGCGGCUAUAGGACGGGGUGAGCGGGGUGCCAGCGCAUGCGUCCAUGGGUGCGGGUUGCCGGCGCCGGCGCGCGCGGGGCUUUGGAGGGGGAGAAGAAGAGCGCAGCGCGAGCGUCGAGUGUGCCGCGCGCGGAAGCGGGCGCCGCAAAUACACCGCGCGAGGUACUGCUUCCUGCCGCGCGCCCAACUGGUUAUACCGCGCGCGCGGUUAUUGCGCGCCCGCUGGAGCCAUCCGCCAGGUUGCGCGCGCUAAAGUGGGUCUAUUUACGGCGCGGCGCCUGUUUAGCGCGCCUGUUGGAGAUGCUCUCAUAUAACUAGUCAUGAUGCCAUUGUUGGGAAACAUAGUAAGAAAGCAAAAUAAAAUCACGCCUAUGCACACGUGAUACGUCUCCAAUGUAUCUAUAAUUUAUGAAGUAUUCAUGCCAUGUUUACAAUAGUUUCAUAUGGUUUUGUUGCACUUUUAUAUUAUUUUUAUGGACUGACUUGCCUAGUGCUAGUUCCUGGUUUUUUUGCAUGUUUAUUGUUUCACAUAAAAUCCAUACCGAACGAAGUUCAAACACGAUAAAAAUUUACAAGAUUUUUUAUGGAAUAUAUGUGUUUUUUGGGAGGAAGAAUCAACGCAAGGCGGUGCUCGAGGGCCCCACAAGGCAAUAGGGCGUGAUCUACCUCCUAGCUGCGCUGGGAUGCCUUGUGGGCACCUUGUAAGUCGGUUGGAGUCCUUAAUUUGCCGCAAGAAAGAUAAUUUCUGGAUAAAAACCCACUCAAAAUUUCAGCCUAAUUAGAGUUACAGAUCUCCGGGAAUAUAAGAAACAAUUUUUGCUAGAAAACAACAACGAAUAGAGAGAUUAAAUUUAGGGGAGAGGUCCCUCUCCCCCCGGAGGGCCAAGGAAGAAUAAGAAGGAGGGCCCCCCUUCUCCCUCUCCUCCAGUGGCACGGGGAUGCUGCAUGUCGUGGAAUUAUCAUGGCAGAUGUCCUAGUAGAAGGACUUAGUCGUGGAGCCAUUGCAACAGGGUUAGCUUAAAGGGGUUAAAUGAGACAAAGGACACAAGGAGUUUAUACUGGUUCGGCCCCUUGCAGUGAAGGUAAAGGCCUAAUCCGGUUUGAGGUGGUAUUGCUUAUGUCUCGAUUACCAGGGAGCGAAUACGCUUGACCUAGCUUAUGAUCUGUUGUUUCUUGCCCUAAGCUACCGCCUGAAGGAAAUAUGCCCUAGAGGCAAUAAUACAGUUAUUAUUUAUUUCCUUAUUUCAUGAUAAAUGUUUAUUAUUCAUGCUAGAAUUGUAUUAACCGGAAACAUAAUACAUGUGUGAAUACAUAGACAAACAAAGUGUCACUAGUAUGCCUCUACUUGACUAGCUCGUUAAUCAAAGAUGGUUAUGUUUCCUAACCAUAGACAGGUGUUGUCAUUUGAUUAACGGGAUCACAUCAUUAGGAGAAUGAUGUGAUUGACUUGACCCAUUCCGUUAGCUUAGCACUCGAUCGUUUAGUAUGUUGCUAUUGCUUUCUUCAUGACUUAUACAUGUUCCUAUGACUAUGAGAUUAUGCAACUCCCGUUUGCCGGAGGAACACUUUGUGUGCUACCAAACGUCACAACGUAACUGGGUGAUUAUAAAGGAGCUCUACAGGUGUCUCCAAAGGUACAUGUUGGGUUGGCAUAUUUCGAGAUUAGGAUUUGUCACUUCGAUUGUCGGAGAGGUAUCUCUGGGCCCUCUCGGUAAUGCACAUCACAUAAGCCUUGCAAGCAUUGCAACUAAUGAGUUAGUUGCGAGAUGAUGUAUUAAGGAACGAGUAAAGAGACCUGCCGAUAACGAGAUUGAACUAGGUAUUGAGAUACCGACGAUCGAAUCUCGGGCAAGUAACAUACCAAUGACAAAGGGAACAACGUAUGUUGUUAUGCGGUCUAACCGAUAAAGAUCUUCGUAGAAUAUGUGGGAGCCAAUAUGAGCAUCCAGGUUCCGCUAUUGGUUAUUGACUGGAGACGUGUCUCGGUCAUGUCUACAUUGUUCUCGAACCCGUAGGGUCCGCACGCUUAAGGUUUCGAUGACAGUUAUAUUAUGAGUUUAUGAGUUUUGAUGUACCGAAGUUAGUUCGAAGUCUCGGGUAUGAUCACGGACAUAACGAGGAGUCUCGAAAUGGUCGAGACAUAAAGAUUGAUAUAUUGGACGACUAUAUUCGGACACCGGAAGUGUUCUGGGGAAGUUUCGGAUAAAACCGGAGUACCGGGGGGUUACCGAAACCCCCCGGGAGGUUAAUGGGCCUCAUGGGCCUAAAGUGGAGAAGAGGAAAGGCAGCCAGGGCAGGCCACGCGCCCCCUCUCCCCCUAGUCCGAAUUAGACAAGGAGGAAGGGGCGGCGCCCCCCCCCUUUCCUUCCUCUCCUCUCUCCCUUCCUUCCCCCUCUCCUACUUGGACAAGGAAAGGGAGGGGAGUCCUACUCCCGGUAGGAGUAGGACUCCUCCUGCGCGCCUCCUACUAGGGCCGGCCGCACCCCCCCUUGGCUCCUUUAUAUACGGAGGCAGGGGGCACCCCUAGACACACAAGUUGAUCUUCGUGAUCGUUCUCUUAGCCGUGUGCGGUGCCCCCCUCCACCAUACUCCUCGAUAAUAUUGUAGCGGUGCUUAGGCGAAGCCCUGCGACGGUAGAACAUCAAGAUCGUCACCACGCCGUUGUGCUGGCGGAACUCUUCCCCGACACUUUGCUGGAUCGGAGUCCGGGGAUCAUCAUCGAGCUGAACGUGUGCUAGAACUCGGAGGUGCCGUAGUUUCAGUGUUUGAUCGGUCGGAUCGUGAAGAAGUACGACUACAUCAACCGCGUUGAUAUAACGCUUCCCCUUUCGGUCUACGAGGGUACGUGGACAACACUCUCCCCUCUCGUUGCUAUGCAUCACCAUGAUCUUGCGUGUGCGUAGGAAAAUUUUGAAAUUACUACAUUCUCCAACAGUGGUAUCAGAGCCUAGGUUUUAUGUGUUGAUGUUAUAUGCACGAGUAGAACACAAGUGAGUUGUGGGCGAUAUAAGUCAUACUGCUUACCAGCAUGUCAUACUUUGGUUCGGCGGUAUUGUUGGAUGAAGCGGCCUGGACCGACAUUACGCGUACGCUUACGCGAGACUGGUUCUACCGAUGUGCUUUGCACACAGGUGGCUGGCGGGUGUCAGUUUCUCCAACUUUAGUUGAACCCCGGUCCUUGCGAAGGUUAAAACAGCACCAACUUGACGAACUAUCAUUGUGGUUUUGAUGCGUAGGUAAGAACGGUUCUUGCUAAGCCCAGUAGCAGCCACGUAAAACUUGCAACAACAAAGUAGAGGACGUCUAACUUGUUUUUGCAGGGCGUGUUGUGAUGUGAUAUGGUCAAGACGUGAUGAGAUAUAAGUUGUUGUAUGAGAUGAUCAUGUUUUGUUGAAGUUAUCGGCAACUGGCAAAAUUCUUAUGGUUCUCUCUCUAUUGCAUAAGAUGCAAGUGCCCAAUAAUUGCUUUACUUUAUCGCUAUGCGAUAGCAAUAGUUGCAAGAGCAAUUGUUGGCGAGACAACCAUGUGACGACACAUUGAUAUAGAUCAAGAUGAUGGAGAUCAUGGUGUCAUGUCGGUGACGAUAUAGUUCAUGACAGUACUUUGGAGAUGGAGAUCAAAGGCGCAAGAUGAUGAUGGCCAUAUCAUGUCACAUACUUUGAUUGCAUAUGAUGUUUAUCUUUUUACAUCUUAUCUUGCUUUGAUUGACGGUAGCAUUAUAAGAUGAUCUCUCACUAAAUUUCAAGAUAAAAGUGUCCUCCCUGAGUAUGCACCGUUGCCAAAGUUCGUCGUGCCCAGACACCACAUGAUGAUCGGGUGUGAUAAGCUCUACGUCCAUCUACAACGGGUGCAAGCCAGUUUUGCACACACGGAAUACUCAGGUUAAACUUGACGAGCCUAGCGUAUGCAGAUAUGGCCUCGGAACACGGAGACCGAAAGGUCAAGCGUGAAUCAUAUAGUAGAUAUGAUCAACAUAGUGAUGUUCACCAUUGAAACUAGUCCAUCUCACGUGAUGAUCGAACAUGGUUUAGUUGAUUUGGAUCACGUGAUCAUUUAGAGGAUUAGAGGGAUGUCUAUCUAAGUGAGAGUUCUUAAGUAAUACGAUUAAUUGAACUUUAAUUUAUCAUGAACUUAGUCCUGGUAGUAUUAGCAUAUCUAUGUUGUAGAUCAAUAGCUCGCGUUAUUGCUUUCAUAUGUUUAUUUUGAUAUGUUCCUAGAGAAAAUUGUGUUGAAAGAUGUUAGUAGCAAUGAUGCGGAUUGGAUCCGUGAUCUGGGGUUUAUCCUCAUUGCUGUACAGAAGAAUUAUGUCCUUGAUGCAUCGCUAGGUGACAGACCUAUUGCAGGAGAAGAUGCAGACGUUAUGAACGUUUGGCUAGCUCAAUAUGAUGACUACUUGAUAGUUUAGUGCACCAUGCUUAACAGCUUAGAAUCGGGACUUCAAAGACGUUUUGAACGUCAUGGACCAUAUGAGAUGUUCCAGGAGUUGAAGUUAAUAUUUCAAGCAAAUACCCGAGUUGAGAGAUAUGAAGUUUCCAACAAUUUCUAUAGCUAAAAGAUGGAGGAGAAUCGCUCAACUAGUGAGCAUGUGCUCAGAUUGUCUGGGUACUACAAUCGCUUGAAUCAAGUGGGAGUUAAUCUUCCAGAUAAGAUAGUGAUUGACAGAAUUCUCUAGUCACCAUCACCAAGUUAGUAGAAAUUUGUGAUGAACUAUAGUAUGCAAGGGAUGACGAAAACGACUCCCGAGCUUUUCAUGAUGAUGAAAUCGAUGAAGGUAUAAAUCAAGAAAGAGCAUCAAGUGUUGAUGGUUGACAAGACCACUAGUUUCAAGAAAAGGGCAAAGGGAAGAAGGGGAACUUCAAGAAGAACGGCAAGCAAGUUGCUGCUCAAGUGAAGAAGCCCAAGUCUGGUCCUAAGCCUGAGACUAAAUGCUUAUACUGCAAAGGGACUGGUCACUGGAAGCGGAACUACCCCAAGUGAUUGGCGGAUAAGAAGGAUGGCAAAGUGAACAUAAGUAUAUUUGAUAUACAUGUUAUUGAUGUGUACUUUACUAGUGUUUAUAGCAACCCCUCAGUAUUUGAUACUAGUUCAGUUACUAUGAUUAGUAACUUGAAUCGGGAGUUACAGAAUGAACAAAGACUAGUUAAAGGGUGAGGUGACGAUGUGUGUUGGAAGUAGUUCCAAGAUUGAUAUGAUCAUCAUCGCACACUCCCUAUACUUUCGGGAUUAGUGUUGAACCUAAAUAAGUGUUAUUUGGUGUUUGCGUUGAGCAUAAAUAUGAUUUGAUCAUGUUUAUUGCAAUACGGUUAUUCAUUUAAGUAAGAGAAUAAAUUGUUGUUCUGUUUACAUGAAUAAAACCUUAUAUGGUUACACACCCAAUGAAAAUGGUUCGUUGGAUCUCGAUCGUAGUGAUACACAUAUUCAUAAUAUUGAAACCAAAAGAUGCAAAGUUAAUAAUGAUAGUGCAACUUAUUUGUGGCACUGCCGUUUAGGUCAUAUUGGUGUAAAACGCAUGAAGAAACUCCAUGCUGAUGGACUUUUGGAAUCACUUGAUGCUUGCGAACCAUGCCUCAUGGGCAAGAUGACUAAGACUCUGUUCUCUGGAACAAUGGAGCGAGCAACUGACUUAUUGGAAAUAAUACAUACUGAUGUAUGCGGUCCGAUGAGUGUUAAGGCUCACGGCAAGUAUCGUUAUUUUUUGAUCUUCACAGAUGAUUUGAGCCGAUAUGAGUAUAUCUACUUAAUGAAACACAAGUUUGAAAUAUUUGAAAAGUUCAAAGAAUUUCAGAGUGAAGUGGAGAAUCAUCGUAACAAGAAAAUAAAAGUUUCUACGAUAUGAUCGCAGAGGUAAAAAUAUUUGAGUUACAAGUUUGGCCUUCAGUUAAAACAAUGUGAAAUAGUUUCACUACUCACGCCACCUGGAACACCACAGUAUAAUGGUGUGUCCAAACGUCAAAACCGUGCUUUAUUAGAUAUGGUGCGAUCUAUGAUGUCUCUUACCGAUUACCACUAUCGUUUUGGGGUUAUGCAUUAGAGACAGCUACAUUCACGUUAAAUAGGGCACCAUCUAAAUCCGUUGAGACGACACCGUAUGAAAUGUGGUUUGGCGAGAAACCUAAGCUGUCGUUUCUUAAAGUUUGGGACUGUGAUGCUUAUGUGAAAAAGUUUCAACUUGAUAAGGUUGAACCCAAAUCGAAGAAAUGUGUCUUCAUAGGAUACCCAAAAGAGACUGUUGGGUACACCUUCUAUCAAAGAUCCAAAGGCAAGACAUUUGUCGCUAAGAAUGGAUCCUUUCUGGAGAAGGAGUUUCUCUCGAAAGAAGUGAGUGGGAGGAAAGUAGAACUUGAUGAGGUAACUGUACCUGUUCCCUUAUUGGAAAGUAGUACAUCGCAGAAACAGGUUUCUGUGACACCUACACCAAUUAGUGAGGAAGCUAAUGAUAAUGAUCAUGAAACUUUAGAACAAGUUACUACUGAACCUCAUAGAUCAACCAGAGUAAGAUCCGCACCAGAGUGGUACGGUAAUCCUGUUCUGGAUUACCUGCUACUAGAUCAUGAUGAACCUGCGAACUAUGAAGAAGCGAUGGUGAGCCCAGAUUCCGCAAAAUGGCUCGAAGCCAUGAAAUCUGAGAUGGGAUCCAUGUAUGAAAACAAAGUAUGGACUUUGGUUGACUUGCCCAAUGAUCGGCAAGCAAUUGAGAAUAAAUGGAUCUUCAAGAAGAAGACUGACGCUGACGGUAAUGUUACUGUCUACAAAGCUCGACUUGUCGCAAAAGGUUUUCGACAAGUUCAAGGGAUUGACUACGAUGAGACCUUCUCACCCGUAGCGAUGCUUAAGUCUGUCCGAAUCAUGUUAGCAAUUGCCGCAUUUUAUGAAAUCUGGCAAAUGGAUAAACAAAACUGCAUUCCUUAAUGGAUUUAUUAAAUAAGAGUUGUAUAUGAUACAACCAGAAGGUUUUGUCAAUCCUAAAGGUGCUAACAAAAUGUGCAAGCUCCAGCGAUCCAUCUAUGGACUGGUGCAAGCAUCUCGGAGUUGGAAUAUGCGCUUUGAUGAGAUGAUCAAAGCAUAUAGUUUUAUACAGACUUGCGGUGAAGCCUGUAUUUACAAGAAAGUGAGUGGGAGCACUACAACAUUUCUGAUAAGUAUAUGUGAAUGACAUAUUGUUGAUCAAAAAUAAUGUAGAAUUAUUCUGCAAAGCAUAAAUGAGUGUUUUGAAAGGAGUUUUUCAAAGAAAGACCUCGGUGAAGCUGCUUACAUAUUGAGCAUCAAGAUCUAUAGAGAUAGAUCAAGGUGCUUGAUAAGUUUUUCAAUGAGUACAUACCUUGACAAUAUUUUGAAGUAGUUCAAAAUGGAACAGUCAAAGAAAGAGUUCUUGCCUGUGUUACAAGGUGUGAAGUUGAGUAAGACUCAAAGCCCGACCACGGCAGAAGAUAGAAAGAGAAUGAAAGUCAUUCCCUAUGCCUCAGCCAUAGGUUCUAUAAAGUAUGCCAUGCUAUGUACCAGAUCUAUUGUAUACCCUACACUAUUUUUUGGCAAGGGAGUACAAUAGUGAUCUAGGAGUAGAUCACUAUACAUCGGUCAAAAUUAUCCUUAGUGGAAUAAGGAUAUGUUUCUCGAUUAUGGAGGUGACAAAAGGUUCGUCGUAAAAGGAUUACGUCGAUACAAGUUUUUGGCACUGAUGCGGAUGACUCUAAGUCUUCAUCUGGAUACAUAUUGAAAGUGGGAGCAAUUAGCUAAAGUAGCUUUGUGCAGAGCAUUGUAGACAUAGAAAUUUGCAAAAUACAUACGGAUCUAAAUUUUGGCAGACUCGUUGACUAAGCAUCUCUCACAAGCAAAACAUGAUCACACCUUAGUACUCUUUGGGUGUUAAUCACAUAUAGAUGUGAACUAGAUUACUGACUCUAGUAAACCCUUUGAGUGUUGGUCACAUGACGAUGUGAACUAUGUGUGUUAAUCACAUGGUGAUAUGAACUAUUAAUGUUAAAUCACAUGGCGGUGUGAUCUAGAUUAUUGACUCUAGUGCAAGUGGGAGACUGAAGGAAAUAUGCCCUAGAGGCAAUAAUAAAGUUAUUAUUUAUUUCCUUAUUUCAUGAUAAAUGUUUAUUAUUCAUGCUAGAAUUGUAUUAACCGGAAACAUAAUACAUGUGUGAAUACAUAGGCAAACAAAGUGUCACUAGUAUGCCUCUACUUGACUAGCUCGUUAAUCAAAGAUGGUUAUGUUUCCUAACCAUAGACAGGUGUUGUCAUUUGAUUAACGGGAUCACAUCAUUAGGAGAAUGAUGUGAUUGACUUGACCCAUUCCGUUAGCUUAGCACUCGAUCGUUUAGUAUGUUGCUAUUGCUUUCUUCAUGACUUAUACAUGUUCCUAUGACUAUGAGAUUAUGCAACUCCUGUUUGCCGGAGGAACACUUUGUGUGCUACCAAACGUCACAACGUAACUGGGUGAUUAUAAAGGAGCUCUACAGGUGUCUCCAAAGGUACAUGUUGGGUUGGCGUAUUUCGAGAUUAGGAUUUUUCACUCCGAUUAUCGGAGAGGUAUCUCUGGGCCCUCUCGGUAAUGCACAUCACAUAAGCCUUGCAAACAUUGCAACUAAUGAGUUAGUUGCGAGAUGAUGUAUUAAGGAAUGAGUAAAGAGACUUGCCGGUAACGAGAUUGAACUAGGUAUUGAGAUACCGACGAUCGAAUCUCGGUCAAGUAACAUAUCGAUGACAAAGGGAACAACGUAUGUUGUUAUGCGGUCUGACCGAUAAAGAUCUUCGUAGAAUAUGUGGGAGCCAAUAUUAGCAUCUAGGUUCCGCUAUUGGUUAUUGACCGGAGACGUGUCUCGGUCAUGUCUACAUUGUUCUCGAACCCGUAGGGUCCGCAUGCUUAAGGUUUCGAUGACAGUUAUAUUAUGAGUUUAUGAGUUUUGAUGUACCGAAGUUAGUUCGGAGUCUCAGAUAUGAUCACGGACAUAACGAGGAGUCUCGAAAUGGUCGAGACAUAAAGAUUGAUAUAUUGGACGGCUAUAUUCGGACACCGGAAGUGUUCCGAGGAAGUUUCCGAUAAAACCGGAGUACCGGGGGGUUACCGGAACCCCCCGGGGGGGUUAAUGGGCCUCAUGGGCCUAAAGUGGAGAAGAGCAGCCAGGGCAGGCCGCACGCCCCCUCUCCCCCUAGUCCGAAUUGGACAAGGAGGGAGGGGCGGCGCCCCCCUUUCCUUCCUCUCCUCUCUCCCUUCCUCCCCCCUCUCCUACUUGGACAAGGAAAGGGAGGGGAGUCCUACUCCCGGUAGGAGUAGGACUCCUCCUGCGCGCCUCCUACUAGGGCCGGCCGCACCCCCCUUGGCUCCUUUAUAUACUGAGGCAGGGGGCACCCCUAGACACACAAGUUGAUCUUCAUGAUCGUUCUCUUAGCCGUGUGCGAUGCCCCCCUCCACCAUACUCCUUGAUAAUAUUGUAGCGGUGCUUAGGCAAAGCCCUGCGACGGUAGAACAUCACGAUCGUCACCACGUCGUCGUGCUGACGGAACUCUUCCCCGACACUUUGCUGGAUCGGAGUCCGGGGAUCAUCAUCGAGCUGAACGUGUGCUAGAAAUCGGAGGUGCCGUAGUUUCGGUGCUUGAUCGAUCGGAUCGUGAAGAAGUACGACUACAUCAACCGCGUUUAUAUAACGCUUCCGCUUUCGGUCUACGAGGGUACGUGGACAACACUCUCCCCUCUUGUUGCUAUGCAUCACCAUGAUCUUGCGUGUGCGUAGGAAAAUUUUGAAAUUACUACGUUCCCCAACACCGCUGGGUCGUCCCUUUUAUAUACAUAGGUCGACGCCCAACGGCUUACAGAGUCACGGCCGGCUCAUAAACAACGUGUCCGGUCGGGGACAUCUCCUCCGUCACCAUCAUCACCAACUUUUUCUUCGUUCUCGUAGUGAUGUGUGAGUAGUUCACCCCCGAGGCUAAGGGUAUGUACUGGUAGCUAUGUGUUUGAUCUCUCUAUCUCUCUCUUGUGUUCUUGAUUUGACACGAUCUUGAUGUAUCAUAAGCUAUGUUAAUAUAGUUGGAUCAUAUGGUGUUCUUCCCUCUCUAUCUUGUUGUGAUGAAUUGAGUCUUUCCCUUCAAGGUUUCGUUAUUACUAAAUUGAAUAUUGGAUUUGAGAUCACCUUUUCUAUGUCUUGCAUGCGGAUACCCAUGGUGACAAUGGGGUAUUCAAUUGAGUCACUUGCAGAUUCCCGUGGUGACAUUGGGGUAAUCUAGGCAUAGGGGUUGAUACACAUUUUCGUCCUACUUUCUCCGAUAGAAACUUUGAGGUACUCUUUGAAGUUCUUGUGUUAGAUUGAAUAUUAUGAAUUUGAAAUUAUUUGGUGUUAUUGUAGUAUGAACUCUAGGCUGUUUGUGACACUUAUAGGUAUGGCUCAAUAGAUUGAUCGGAAAGAUAACUUUGAGGUGGUUCGUUGAUACGUCUCCAAUGUAUCUAUAAUUUAUGAAGUAUUCAUGCUGUUAUAUCAUCAUUCUUGGAUGUUUUACAAUCAUUUUAUAGAAACUUUAUACCAUUUUUGGGACUGACCUAUUGACCUAGUGCCCAGUGCGAAACACCGCGAAACAGAGUCCAAACACCGCGAAACUUUUUGGAGAUUUUUUAUGGACCAGAACACCCAGGAUGGGUCAAAGAAGCACCUGGGGGGGUGCGUCAAGGGGGGCACAACCCACCAGGGCGCGCCUGGGGGCCCAGUCGCGACCAGGUGGGUUGUGCCCACCUCUGUGGCCUCACGCACCCCCUCUUUACCCUAUAAAUUCCCAAAAAUUCCAGAAACCCUCGGGGUUACACUAGAUCAGAAGUUUCGCCGCCGCAAGGCUCUGUAGCCACCAAAAACCAAUCUAGACCCCAUUCCGGCACCCUGACGGAGGGGGAAUCAUCACUGGUGGCCAUCUUCAUCAUCCCGGUGGCCACCACGAUGAGGAGGGAGUAGUUCACCCUCGGGGCUGAGGGUUUGUACAAGUAGCUAUGUGUUUAAUCUCUCUCUCUCUCUCUCUCUUGUUCUUGAGAUGUCACGAUCUUGAUGUAUCGCGGGCUUUGUUAAUAUAGUCGGAUUAUAUGGUGUUUUCCCCUUUAUCUUGUUGUGAUGAAUUGAGUUUUUUCCUUUGAGAUUUCGUUGUUAACGGAUUGAAUACUUCUAUGGAUUUGAGAACACUUGAUAUAUGUCUUGCAAUUGAAUACUCGUGGUGACAAUGGGGUAUUGUAUUGAUUCACUUGAUAUAUGUUUUGGCACUCAACUCGCGGAUUCCCGAGGUGACAUUGGGGUAAUCUAUGCAUAGGGGUUGAUGCACGUUCUUGUCUUUGUUUCUUCGAUAGAAAUCUUGGGGCACUCUUUGAAGUUAUUUGUGUUGGAUUGAAUAUUAUGAAUCUGAAUUUGCUUUGGUGUUAUUUUAGUACGAACUCUUAGUUAGAUCGAUCGGAAAGAAUAGCUUCGUGUUAUUUUAGUAUGAACUCUAGGAUAGAUUGAUCGAAAAGAAUAGCUUUGAGGUGGUUUCCUACCCUACAAACAAUUUAUUCUUAUGUUCUCCGCUAGAUAGGAACUUUGGAGUGAUUCUUCAUCGCAUUUUGAGGGGGUGGUUAUAUGAUCCAAUUAUAUUAGCACUGUUGAGAGAUUGCACUAGUGAAAGUACGGACUCUAGGCCUCAUUUUCAAGCAUUGCAAUACCGUUUUUGUGCCUGUUUACUAUUUUCUACCUUGAUGUUUUUAUUUAUUCAGAUUAUAAAAAUAUAUUUCUACCAUCCAUAUUACACUUUUAUCACCAUCUCUUUGUCGAACUAGUGCACCUAUACAAUUUGCCAUUGUAUUGGGUGUGUUGGGGACACAAGAGAUUUCUUGUAUUUGGUUGCAGGGUUGUUUGAGAGAGACCUUCUUCACCCUACACCUCUCACGGAUUGAUAAACCUUAGGUCAUCCACUUGAGGGAAAAUUGCUACUGUCCUACAAAACUCUAUGCUUGGAGGCCCAACACGUGUCUACAAGAAUAAAGUUGCCUAGUAGACAUCAUGCUCUUUUCUGGCGCCGUUGCCGGGGAGGUGAGUGCAUAAAGGUAUAUCUUUAGAUCUUGCAAUUGAAUCUUUUAGUUUCUUGUUUAUCACUAGUUUGGUCUAUAAAAUAAAAGUACAUAAAAAUGGAAUUGAGGUUGCAUCAUAUUAUUGAUCACCUUUAUAAUAUCUUCCUUGAAAAUGAUGAUUCGGAAAAUUGUGCUCAAUUGAUAGAAGAAGAAUUCAAUAGAAUGUUUGGUAUAAAUGAUGAGCAUGAUUGCAAUGUUAUUAGUAUGAAUUCUUUGAAUAUCCAUGAUGCUAAUGAUACGCAAAGCCAUAAGCUUGGGGAUGCUAUGUUUGAUGAAGAUGAUAUUUUUAGUCCCCCAAGAUUUGAUGUGCAAAUUUGUUAUAAUGAUUGCAUGCCUCCUAUUUAUGAUGAUUAUAAAGAAAGCGGCUUUGGAGAGGUCAUGACUUUAUUUAGUGAUGAAUCCACUAUUCCGGAAGAGGUUGCAAUUGACUAUGAAAACAAAGUUGCUAUUUAUGAUGAUUAUGGUGAUGACAUGUAUGCUAUAAAGAAUAAUGAUAAUCAUGAAACUUGUCAUCAUGAUUUUAAUUUUCAAUCACAUGAUAGUUAUUUUUUUGAGUUUUCUCCCAUUACUAUUGAUGAGAAUAAAUUUGCUUAUGUGGAGAGUAAUAAAAUUUCCAUGCUUGUAGAUCAUGAAAAUAAUGCUUUAUUUGAUAGUUAUAUUGUUGAAUUCAUUCAUGAUGCUACUGAAAAUUAUUAUGAGAGAGGAACAUAUGCUUGUAGGUAUUGCAACAAUAUCAAGUUUCCUUUCUAUGUGUUGAAAAUCUUGAAGUCUUGCUUGCUUUGCCUUCCUAUGGUAGUUGAUUCUUGUUCCCAUAAAUUGUUUGCUCACAAAAUCCCUAUGCAUAGGAAGUGGGUUAGCCUUAAAUGUGUUUGUCAUGUGCUUCAUGAUGCUCUCUUGUUAUGUUUCAACUCUUAUCUUUUAUGCGAGCAUCAUUGAAAUUAUCAUGCCUAGCUAAAAGGCAUUAAAGAAAAGCGUUUGUUGGGAGACAAACCAACACUUUUACCUACUAUUUUUGUGUGUUCACAUGAUUAGGAUACUGUAGUAAUCAUUUUUAUUGCUUUUGUUUCAAUAAAGUGCCAAAUAAGACAUUUGGGAUGGCUUACGGUGAUAGUUGAUUUGAUCUUGCCAAAAAACAGAAACUUUUGCGCUCAGGAAACAAUUCUCAUUUUUAACAGAAGCGUGAUAAAAUGUUGAUUAUUUUCGCAGAAGAUUAAUAUACAAAUCACCCAGGUUUUCCUAUUUUUUCAGAAUUUUUGGAGUAAUAGAAGUAUGGUUGGAGUACAGAUUACUACAGACUGUUCUGUUUUGACAGAUUCUGUUUUCAAUGCAUAGUUUGCUUGUUUUCUAGUUUCUAUGGCUUAUAUUGGUCAAUAUAAAUUAUGGAAAUUAUAUUCUACAGUAGGCAUUGUGUGAGAAAAAUUAUGAAUCUUAUCUUUGACAAUACCAAAGUGAAAUGGUUUGCUCUUUAUCGUACUAACCUAUCUCACGAAGUUCCGUUAAGUUUUGUGUGAUUGAAGUUUUCAAGUUUUGGGUGAGAUGUCGAUAUGAGAAGCAUAAGGGGUGACAAGGCCCUAAGAUUGGGUAUGCCCAAGGCAUCCCAAGUUAAUAUCUAAGGAGGAUCCAUGCAACUAAGCUUGGGGAUGCCCCAGAAGGCAUCCCCUCUUUCGUCUCCAACAUUAUCGGUAACCUCACUCGGAGCUAUGUUUUCAUUCGUCACAUGAUAUGUGUUUUGUUUAUAAUUGAAGGAAAUAUGCCCUAGAGGCAAUAAUAAAGUUGUUAUUUAUAUUUCCUUAUAUCAUGAUAAAUGUUUAUUAUUCAUGCUAGAAUUGUAUUAACCGGAAACUUAGUACAUGUGUGAAUACAUAGACAAACAGAGUGUCACUAGUUUGCCUCUACUUGACUAGCUCGUUGAAUCAAUGAUGGUUAUGUUUCCUAACCAUAGACAUGAGUUGUCAUUUUAUUAACGGGAUCACAUCAUUAGAGAAAUAUUUGAUUGACUUGACCCAUCCGUUAGCUUAGCACGAUGAUCGUUUAGUUUGUUGCUAUUGCUUUCUCCAUAACUAUACAUGUUCCUAUGACUAUGAGAUCAUGCAACCCCCAAAUACCGGAGGAACACUUUGUGUGCUACCAAACGUCACAACGUAACUGGGUGAUUAUAAAGGUGCUCUACAGGUGUCUCUGAUGGUGUUUGUUGAGUUGGCAUGAAUCAAGAUUAGGAUUUGUCACUCCGUUUGUCGGAGAGGUAUCUCUGGGCCCUCUCGAUAAUGUACAUCACAAUAAGCCUUGAAAGCAAUGUAGCUAAUGAGUUAGUUACGGGAUGUAGCAUUACAUAACGAGUAUAGAGACUUGCCAGAAACAAGAUUGAACUAGGAAUUGAGAUACCGACGAUCGAAUCUCGGGCAAGUAACAUACCGAUGACAAAAGGAACAAAGUAUACCGUUAUGCGGUUUGACCGAUAAAGAUCUUCGUAGAAUAUGUAGGAGCCAAUAUGGGCAUCCAAGUUCCGCUAUUGUUUAUUGACCAGAGACAUGUCUCGGUCAUGUCUACAUAUUUCUCGAACCCAUAGGGUCCGCACGCUUAACGUUCGGCGACGAUCGAUAUUAUGAGUUUAUGUGUUUUGAUGUACCGAAGGUAGUUCGGAGUCCCGGAUUUGAUCACGGACAUGACGAGGAGUCUCAGAUUGGUCGAGGCAUAAAGAUCGAUAUAUUGGAAGCCUAUAUUUGGACAUCGAAAUGGUUCUGAGUGGUUCAGGCAUUUUUCUGGAGUACCGGGAGGUUACCGGAACCCCCCGGGGAGUAUAUGGGCCUUAUUGGGCCUUAGUGGAAUAGAGGAGAGGGAAGGGAAAAGAGGGAGGCGCGCCCCAAGCCCAAUCCAAAUUGGGAGGGGGCAGGCCCCCCUUUCCUUCAUCCCUCUCUCCUUCUUCCUUCCUCUCCUACUCCUACUUGGAAGGGGGGAAUUACUUCCCCAGGGCGCGCCAUAGAGAGUGCCGGCCCUCCCCCUCCUCCACUCCUUUAUAUAUAGGGGAGGGGGGGUACCCCAUAGACACACAAGUUGAUCAUUGAUCUUUUAGCCGUGUGCGGUGCCCCCCUCCACGAUAAUCCACCUCGGCUAUACCGUAGCGGUGCUUAGGUGAAGCCCUGUUCCGGUAGCAACAUCAUCACCGUCAUCACGCCGUCAUGCUGACGAAACUCUCCCUCGAAGCUCUUCUAGAUCGUGAGUUCGCGGGACAUCACCGAGCCGAACGUGCGCAGAUCACGGAGGUGCCGUACCUUCGGUGCUAGAUCGGUCAAUCAUAAAGACGUACGAUUGCAUCAACCGCGUUGUCAUAACGCUUCCUCUUACGGUCUACGAGGGUACGUAGACGAUACUGUCCCCUCUCAUUUCUAUGCAUCAUCAUAAUCUUGCAUGUGCGUAGGAAUUUUUUUGAAAUAAUCGUGUUCCCCAACAAUGGCAUCCAAGCCAGGUUUAUGCGUAGAUGUUAUAUGCACGAGUAGAACACAAAGGAGUUAUGGGCGUGGGUAUAUACAUAUUGCUUGCCGUCACUAGUUGAUUCUUGAUUCAGCGACAUUGUUGGAUGAAGCGGCCCAGACCGACAUUACACGUACGCUUAUGCAAGAUUGGUUCUACUGACGUGCUUCACACAAAGGUGGCUAGUGGGUGUCUGUUUCUCCAGCUUUAGUUGAAUCAGAUUCAAUGAACAGGGUUCUUUCCGAAGAUCAAAAAGAAAUCACUAUACCGCGUUGUGGUUUUUUUGAUGUGUAGGUAAGAACGGUUCUUGCUCAGCCCGUAGCAGCCACGUAAAACUUGCAACAACAAAGUAGAGGACGUCUAACCUAUUUUUGCAGGGCAUGUUGUGAUGUGAUAUGGUCAAGACAUGAUGCUAAAUUUUAUUGUAUGAGAUGAUCAUGUUUUGUAACACAGUUAUCGGCAACUGGCAGGAGCCAUAUGGUUGUCCCUUUAUUGUAUAAAAUGCAAUCGCCAUGUAAUUGCUUUACUUUAUCACUAAGCGGUUGUGAUGUUCACCAUUGAAAACUACUCCAUCUCACGUGAUAAUCGGACAUGGUUUAGUUGAUAUGGAUCACGUGAUCACUUAGAUGAUUAGAGAGAUGUCUAUCUAAGUGGGAGUUCUUAAGUAAUUUGAUUAAUUGAACUUUAAUUUAUCAUGAACUUAGUACCUAAUAGUAUUUUGCAUGUCUAUGUUGUUGUAGAUAGAUGGCCCGUGCUAUUGUUCCGUUGAAUUUUAAUGUGUUCCUAGAGAAAGCAAAGUUGAAAGAUGAUGGUAGCAACUACACGGACUGGGUCCGUAACUUGAGGAUUAUCCUCAUUGCUGCACCCGGCAGAGCAAAGCUCAUGACUACUCGAUAGUUCAGUGUGCCAUGCUUUAUAGCUUAGAACCGGGACUUCAACGACGUUUUGAACGUCAUGGAGCAUAUGAGAUGUUCCAGGAGUUGAAGUUAAUAUUUCAAGCAAAUGCCCGGAUUGAGAGAUAUGAAGUCUCCAAUAAGUUCUACAGUUGCAAGAUGGAGGAGAAUAGUUCUGUCAGUGAACAUAUACUCAGAAUGUCUGGGUACCACAACCACUUGACUCAACUGGGAGUUAAUCUUCUUGAUGAUAGUGUCAUUGACAGAGUUCUUCAAUCACUGCCACCAAGCUACAAGAGCUUCGUGAUGAACUAUAAUAUGCAAGGGAUGGAUAAGACGAUUCCCGAGCUCUUCACAAUGCUAAAGGCUGCGGAGGUAGAAAUCAAGAAGGAACAUCAAGUGUUGAUGGUUAACAAGACCACCAGCUCCAAGAAAAAGGGUAAAGGGAAGAAGCGGACCUUCAAGAAGAACAACAAGCCAUUUGCUGCUCAGGUGAAGAAACCCACGUUUGGACCUAAGCCUGAGACCGAGUGUUUCUACUGCAAAGGAACUGGUCACUGGAAGCGGAACCGCACCAAGUAUUUGGCGGAGAAGAAGGAUGGUGAUACAUCUCCAUCAUAUCUUUAAUUUUUGAUUGUUCCAUGCCAAUAUUAUAUAACUUUCAUAUACUUUUGGCAAAUUUUUAUACUAUUUUUUGGACUAACAUAUUGAUCCAGUGCCCAGUGCUAGUUCCUGUUUGUUGCAUGUUUUUUGUUUUGCAGAAAAUCCAUAUCAAACGGAGUCCAAAGGGGAUAAAAAUCGACAGAGAUUUUUUUGGAAUAUAUGUGAUUUUUAGGAAUAAGAAUCAACGCGAGACGAUGCCUGAGGGGGCCACGAGGCAGGGGGCGCGCCCCAGGGGGUCAAGCGCGCCCUGGGCCCUCGUGGCCACCCCGUGAGGCGGUUGGUGCCCUUAUUUCGCCGCAAGACAGCUAAUAUCCGGAUAGAGAUCGUGUCCAGAAUUCAGCCCAAUCGGAGUUACGGAUCUCCGGGAAUUUAAGAAACGGUGAAAGGACAGAAUCAGGAACGCAGAAACACAGAGACAGAGAGACAGAUACAAUCUCGGAGGGGCUCUCGCCCCUCCCAUGCCAUGGAGGCCAUGUACCAGAGGGGAAACCCUUCUACCAUCUAGGGAGAAGGUCAAGGAAGAAGAAUAAGAAGGGGGGAUCUCUCCCCUCUCUCCCGGUGGCGCCGGAACGCCGCCGUGGCCAUCAUCAUCACCGCAAUCUACACCAACAACUUCACCGCCAUCAUCAAAAACUCUUCCCCCCUCUAUGCAGUGGUGUAAACCCCCUUUUACUUGCUGUAAUCUCUACUUAAACAUGGUUCCCAACUCUAUAUAUUAUUUCCUAAUGAUGUAUGGCUAUCCUAUGAUGUUUGAGUAGAUCCAUUUUGUCCUAUGGGUUAAUUGAUGAUCGUGAUUGAUUUGAGUUGCAUGUUUUAUUAUUGGUGUUGUCCUAUGGCGCUCUCCGUGUCGCGCAAGAGUGAGGGAUCCCCGCUGUAGGGUUUGCAAUAUGUCCAUGAUUUUCUUAUGGUGGGUGGCGUGAGUGACAGAAGCACAUACCCAAGUAAGUAGGUUGUUUGCGUAUGGGAGUAAAGAGGACUUGAUGCCUUAUAAUGCUAUGGUUGGGUUUUACCUUAAUGAUCUUUAGUAGUUGUGGAUGCUUGCUAGAGUUCCAAUCAUAAGUGCAUAUGAUCCAAGAAGAGAAAGUAUGUUAGCUUAUGCCUCUCCCUCAAAUAAAAUUGCAAUAAUGAUUACCGGUCUAGUUAUCGAUUGCCUAGGGACAAAUAACUUUCUUGUGUGACAACAAGCUCUCUACUAAAACUAACUUAGUUGUGUCUUCAUCUAAACAGCCCCUACUUUUUAUUUAAGCGCUCUUUAUUAUCUUGCAAACCUAUCCAACAACACCUACAAAGUACUUCUUGUUUCAUACUUGUUCUAGGUAAAGCGAACGUCAAGCGUGCGUAGAGUUGUAUUGGUGGUCGAUAGAACUUGAGGGAAUAUUUGUUCUACCUUUAGGUCCUCGUUGGGUUCGACACUCUUACUUAUCGAAAGAGGCUACAAUUGAUCCCAUAUACUUGUGGGUUAUCAGAUGGCAAAGUGAAAUGUAUAUUUGAUGUACAUGUUAUUGAUGUGUACCUUACUAAUGCUCGCAGUAGUGCCUGGGUAUUUGAUACUGGUUCAGUUGCUAAAAUUUGCAACUCAAAACAGGGGCUAUGUAUUAAGUGAAGAUUGGCUAACGACGAGGUGAUGAUGUGCGUGGGAAAUGGUUCCAAAGUCGAUGUGAUCGCCGUCGGCACGCUACCUCUACAUCUACCUUCGAGAUUAGUAUUAGACCUAAAUAAUUGUUAUUUGGUGCCAGCGUUGAGCAUGAGCAUUAUAUCUGGAUCAUGUUUGAUGUGAGACGAUUAUUCAUUAAAAUCAGAGAAUAAUGGUUGUUCUAUUUAUAUGAGUAAUAUCUUUUAUGGUCAUGCACCCCUGAUGAGUGGUCUAUUUUUACUAAGUCUUGAUAGUAGUGAUACACAUGUUCAUAGUAUUGAAUCCAAAAGAUGCAGAGUUGAUAAUGAUAGUGCAACUUAUUUGUGGCACUGCCGUUUAGGUCAUAUUGGUGUAAAGCGCAUGAAGAAACUCCAUUCUGAUGGACUUCUGGAAUCACUUGAUUAUGAAUCACUUGGUACUUGUGAACCAUGCCUCAUGGGCAAGAUGACUAAAACUCUGUUCUCCGGAACAAUGGAGCGAGCAAUAGAGUUAUUGGAGAUCAUACAUACUGAUGUGUGUGGUCCAAUGAACAUUGAAGCUCGCGGCGGAUAUCGUUAUUUUCAUACAACGGGCUACUGUUCAUCCACCGUCGACCUCCUCCAGCCUCCACCUGCGACUGUUCAUCCACGGGCUCCUGUUCAUCCAGCCUCCACCGCGCGCUACUCCACCGGCUACUGUUCAACCAGCCCUCUCCACGGGCUCCUGUUCAACCACCCCUCCACAGGCUAUUGUUCAUCCAGCCCUCCAUCGUCUACUUUUCAUCCUGCCCUCCAUGGGGUGGUCCUGUUCAUCCAGCCAUCCAUGGGGUCCUGUUCAUCUAGCCCCAACCGGCUCGAUCGAUCGGGGUCCUGUUCAUCUAGAGGCAACUCCACGGGGUCCUAUUCAUCCACCCCCACUGGGAACUGUUCAUCCAACCCCACCAGCAACGCUCACUGUUCAUCCAGAGGCAGCAUCGAUCGGCUUCAGUUAGCAGCAGUAGCGAAGGAAUCGCUCGAUUGGGUCCAGUUAACACCCAUCGAUCGAUCGCUUGGGUUCAGUAAUGCGUAGCCUGCAGUGCAAUCGCUCAGGUUUAAUUAGAGCCCAACGCCUCGCUCGGGUUCAGUUAUAGCCCAACGCCUCGCACCCACGUGCAUGCGUGUACAAGAGAAACGCGCAUCGCUCGGCCCCGACCACCCACCGUAACCGGGAACACCCCGAUAUUUUCCUCGCCCUCGCUUCUACCAUGGUUUUUUCCGUCAUGGACGGCCCAAAGAAUGUCAUGCAACCGCGUCUUCGGCCCGCCCAGGACGAAAAGCCCAUUUUGUCAUGAUUUUUUGUCAUAAAAGUAGGACCCCACCACAUCUAUGAUGAUACCGGGUUUUCUCACAAUUAUCGUCAUAGAAGUGUCAUAAGUAUGACAUAAUUUUUUUUCAUUCAACCCAAAAUGUCAUAGAUGUGUCUUUUUUUGUAUUGCUACCAAUGUGAGUUUAGUGAUAAUGGAAUCGUAUCUUCGUAUGCUAAGGGUGUUUAUAAUUACUAUGAUGUUCAACAAAUUGAAGAAUUUGUUGCUUUUAAGGGUGCUUAUGAAAUUGCUUCUUUCAUUGAAAAGUAUGAUGCUACUCUUUACAAAUCUGAAAAUUUUGCCAUACUUAAUAUUGUUAUGAUAGUUAUGCCUCUAAUGCCUAUGUUAAACCAUAUAUCGAGGACUCCUCCGUUGUCCAAGAAGAGACUAAUAUUUUGCAGGAGUCUAUGAAAGAAGAGAUUGAUGAAACUGUGAGCUCAUUAGAUGAAAAAGAUGAUGAGGAGAGCGAAAAACAAAAGGAGGAAGAUCGGAUUAGCUACCCGUGCCCACCUUCUAAUGAGAGUAACUCUCCAACUCUUACAUUAUUUAAUGUCCCUUUGUUCUUACCGAAGGAUGAUUGCUAUGAUGAUUAUUAUGAUCCCAUUGAUUCUUUUGAAAUACCCCUUUUUGAUGAACUUGAUGCUUGCUAUGCUUGUGGCCAUGAUGCCAAUAUGAAUGAUGCUUAUGGUGAUGAACUUGCUGUAGUUCCAUAUGUUAAACAUGCAAUUGUUGCUAUUGCACCCACACAUAAUAGUCCUAUUAUCUUUUUGAAUUCUCCAAACUACACUAUAUAGGAGAAGUUUGCUCUUAUUAAGGAUUAUGUUGAUGGGUUGCAUUUUACCGUUGCACAUGAUGAUUUUGAUGAAUGUUAUAUGCAUGUGCUUGCUGCUCCUACUUGCAAUUAUUAUGAGAGAGGAACUACAUCUCCACCUCUCUAUGUUUCCAACAAGAUAAAAUUGCAAGAAACUGUUUAUACUAUGCAUUGGCCUUUACUAUGUGUGCAUGAAUCAUUCUUUUAUGACAUGCCGAUGCAUAUAAGAGAGUUAGAGUUCGUAAUUGCUUGAUAUAUGUUGCUUUGUGCUCACUACUGAAUGCCAAAUCAAUGCUAAUUCAAAUUGGCUUUGAUAUACCUUGGGAUCCGGGUGGAUCCAUUACUUGAGCACUAUAUGCCUAGCUUAAUGGCUUUAAAGAAAGCACUGCCAGGGAGACAACUCGGAAGUUUUAGAGAGUAAUUUAUUUCUGUUGAGUGCUUUUAUAUAUUUUAAAAACACAAAAAUAAAGAGGGGAACCCAAAACUUUUCAAAAAGGAAAGUGAAAGUGAGAGAGACAAGCAUUGUUGAAGUGGGGGAGUUCCUUGAACUUUGUUAAUGCUCACAGAAACUUUGUGAAUCUUGAUUACAGGAACUUUUCAACAAAAAUAAUUAUCCCCUUGUACAAUUCCAUUGUAUUAUAAAAAUAAUGUGCCAAGAUUUGCCUUUAGGAUGUUUACAUUGCUUGUUGGUUUGUGCGGUGCAGAACAGAAACUUUGCCUGUAGUGCGUGAUUUUACAUUUUGUACUGGAAUGUCAAACGGUUCUGAAACUUUUUGCACUGUAUUUCUAUACAAAUUUUUUAUUUUUCCGAAUUUUAGCAGAAUGUUUUGAGUACCAGAGGUAUGGUGAAUGUUCAGAUUACUACAGACUGUCCUGUUUAAGACAGAUUUUGUUUUUGAUGCAUUGUUUGCUUGUUUUGAUGAAACUAUCGAUUUCUAUCAGUGGAUUAAGCCAUGUAAAAGUUAUAUUACAGUAGCUACAGUGCAAAAUAAAAUAUGAAUUGGUUUGCAACAGUAUUAGAGUAGUGAUUUGCUUUAUUAUACUAACGGAUCUUACCGAGUUUUCUGUUGAGUUUUGUGUGGAUGAAGUGUUCGAAGAUCGAGGAGGUCUCGAUGUGAGGAGGAGGAGGAGAGGCAAGAGCUCAAGCUUGGGGAUGUCCAAGGAACCCCAAGUAAAUAUUCAAGGAGACUCAAGCGUCUAAGCUUGGGGAUGCCCCGGAAGACAUCCCAUCUUUCUUCAACAAGUAUCAGUAUGUUUUCGAAUUCGUUUUGUUCAUGCGAUAUGUGCAAACCUUGGAGCGUCUUUUGCAUUUUGUUUUCACUUUUCUUUUAUGCACCGUGCUGGUAUGAGAUAGUCUUUGGUUGAUUUAUAGAGAGAGGAACAUAUGCUUCUAGGUAUUGCAAUAAUAUCAAGUUUCCUUUCUAUGUGUUGAAAAUCUUGAAGUCUUGCUUGCUUUGCCUUCCUAUGGUAGUUGAUUCUUGUUCCCAUAAAUUGUUUGCUCACAAAAUCCCUAUGCAUAGGAAGUGGGUUAGACUUAAAUGUGUUUGUCAUGUGCUUCAUGAUGCUCUCUUGUUAUGUUUCAACUCUUAUCUUUUAUGCGAGCAUCAUUGAAAUUAUCAUGCCUAGCUAAGAGGCAUUAAAGAAAAGCGUUUGUUGGGAGACAACCCAAGACUUUUACCUACUGUUUUUGUGUGUUCACAUGAUUAGGCUACUGUAGUAAUAAUUUUUUAUUGCUUUUGUUUCAAUAAAGUGCCAAGUAAGACAUUUGGGAUGGCUUACGGUGAUAGUUGAUUUGAUCUUGCCGAAAAACAGAAACUUUUGCGCUCAGGAAAACAAUUCUCAUUUUUAACAGAAGCGUGAUAAAAUGCUGAUUCUUUUUGCAUAAGAUUAAUACACAAAUCACCCAGGUUUUCCUAUUUUUUCAGAAUUUUUGUAGUAAUGGAAGUAUGGUUAGAGUACAGAUUACUACAGACUGUUCUGUUUUGACAGAUUCUGUUUUCAAUGCAUAGUUUGCUUGUUUUCUAGUUUCUAUGGCUUAUAUUGCUCAAUAUAAAUUAUGGAAAUGAUAUUAUACAGUAGGCAUUGUGUGAGAAAAAUUAUUAAUCUUAUCUUUGACAAUUCCAAAGUGAAAUGGUUUGCUCUUUAUCAUACUAACCUAUCUCACGAAGUUCCGUUAAGUUUUGUGUGAUUGAAGUUUUCAAGUUUUGGGUGAGAUGUCGAUAUGAGAAGAAUAAGGGGUGACAAGGCCCUAAGAUUGGGGAUGCCCAAGGCAACCCAAGUUAAUAUCUAAGGAGGAUCCAAGCAACUAAGCUUGGGGAUGCCCCAGAAGGCAUCCCCUCUUUCGUCUCCAACAUUAUCGGUAACCUCACUCGGAGCUAUGUUUUCAUUCGUCACAUGAUAUGUGUUUUGUUUGUAACUGAAGGAAAUAUGCCCUAGAGGCAAUAAUAAAGUUGUUGUUUAUAUUUCCUUAUAUCAUGAUAAAUGUUUAUUAUUCAUGCUAGAAUUGUAUUAACCGGAAACUUAGUACAUGUGUGAAUACAUAGACAAACAGAGUGUCACUAGUUUGCCUCUACUUGACUAGCUCGUUGAAUCAAUGAUGGUUAUGUUUCCUAACCAUAGACACGAGUUGUCACUUGAUUAACGGUAUCACAUCAUUAGAGAAUUAUUUGAUUGACUUGACCCAUCCGUUAGAUCGUUUAGUUUGUUGCUAUUGCUUUCUCCAUAACUAUACAUGUUCCUAUGACUAUGAGAUCAUGCAACUCCCAAAUACCGGAGGAACACUUUGUGUGCUACCAAAUGUCACAACGUUACUGGGUGAUUAUAAAGGUGCUCUAUAGGUGUCUCUGAUGGUGUUUGUUGAGUUGGCAUGAAUCAAGAUUAGGAUUUGUCACUCCGAUUGUCGGAGAGGUAUCUCUGGGCCCUCUCGGUAAUGUACAUCAUAAUAAGCCUUGAAAGCAAUGUAGCUAAUGAGUUAGUUACGGGAUGUAUCAUUACAUAACGAGUAUAGAGACUUGCCAGAAACGAGAUUGAACUAGGUAUUGAGAUACCGACGAUCGAAUCUCGGGCAAGUAACAUACCGAUGACAAAAGGAACAAAGUAUACCGUUAUGCGGUUUGACCAAUAAAGAUCUUCGUAGAAUAUGUAGGAGCCAAUAUGAGCAUCCAGGUUCCGCUAUUGGUUAUUGACCAGAGACAUGUCUCGGUCAUGUCUACAUAGUUCUCGAACCCAUAGGGUCCGCACGCUUAACGUUCGGUGACGAUCGGUAUUAUGAGUUUAUGUGUUUUGAUGUACCGAAGGUAGUCCAGAGUCCCGGAUUUGAUCACGGACAUGACGGGGAGUCUCAGAUUGGUUGAGACAUAAAGAUCGAUAUAUUGGAAGCCUAUAUUUGGACAUCGAAAUGGUUCCGAGUGGUUCGGGCAUUUUUCUGGAGUACCGUGAGGUUACCGGAACCCCCCGGGGAGUAGAUGGGCCUUAUUGGGCCUUAGUGGAAUAGAGGAGAGGGAAGGGAAAAGAGGGAGGCGCGCCCCAAGCCCAAUCCGAAUUGGGAGGGGGGCCGACCCCCCUUUCCUUCCUCCCUCUCUCCUCCUUCCUUCCUCUCCUACUCCUACUUGGAAGGGGGGAAUUACUUCCCCAGGGCGCGCCAUAGAGAGGGGCGGCCCUCCCCCUCCUCCACUCCUUUAUAUAUAGGGGAGGGGGCACCCCAUAGACACACAAGUUGAUCAUUGAUCUUUUAGCCGUGUGCGGUGCCCCCCUCCACGAUAAUCCACCUCGGUUAUAUCGUAGCAGUGCUUAGGUGAAGCCCUGUUCCGGUAGCAACAUCAUCACCGUCAUCACGCCGUCGUGCUGAAGAAACUCUCCCUCGAAGCUCUACUAGAUCGUGAGUUUGCGGGACGUCACCGAGCCGAACGUGCGCAGAUCGCGGAGGUGCCGUACCUUUGGUGCUAGAUCGGUCGAUCGUAAAGACGUACGAUUACAUCAACCGCGUUGUCAUAACGCUUCCUCUUACGGUCUACGAGGGUACGUAGACGAUACUGUCCCCUCUCAUCGCUAUGCAUCAUCAUAAUCUUGCAUGUGCGUAGGAAUUUUUUGAAAUAAUCGUGUUCCCCAACAAUGGCAUCCAAGCCAGGUUUAUGCGUAGAUGUUAUAUGCACGAGUAGAACACAAAGGAGUUAUGGGCGUGGGUAUAUACAUAUUGCUUGCCGUCACUAGUUGAUUCUUGAUUCAGUGACAUUGUUGGAUGAAGCGGCCCCGACCGACAUUACGCGUACGCUUAUGCGAGAUUGGUUCUACUGACGUGCUUCACACAAAGGUGGCUAGUGGGUGUCUGUUUCUCCAGCUUUAGUUGAAUCGGAUUCAAUGAACAGGGUUCUUUCCGAAGAUCAAAAAGAAAUCACUAUACCGCGUUGUGGUUUUUUUGAUGUGUAGGUAAGAACGGUUCUUGCUCAGCCCGUAGCAGCCACGUAAAACUUGCAACAACAAAGUAGAGGACGUCUAACCUGUUUUUGCAGGGCAUGUUGUGAUGUGAUAUGGUCAAGACAUGAUGCUAAAUUUUAUUGCAUGAGAUGAUCUUGUUUUGUAACACAGUUAUCGGCAACUGGCAGGAGCCAUAUGGUUGUCGCUUUAUUGUAUAAAAUGCAAUCGCCAUGUAAUUGCUUUACUUUAUCACUAAGCGGUUGCGAUAGUCGUAGAGGCAAUAGUUGGCGAGACGAAAACGAUGCUUCGAUGGAGAUCAAGGUGUCAAGCCAGUGACGAUGGUGAUCAUGACGGUGCUUUGGAGAUGGAGAUCAAAGGCACAAGAUGAUGAUGGCCAUAUCAUAUCACUUAUAUUGAUUGCAUGUGAUGUCUAUCCUUUAUGCAUCUUAUUUUUCUUAGUUCGGCGGUAGCAUUAUAAGAUGAUCUCUCACUAAAUUUCAAGGUAUAAGUGUUCUCCCUGAGUAUGCACCGUUGCUAUAGUUCGUCGUGCCGAGACACCACGUGAUCAUCGGGUGUGAUAAGCUCUAUGUUCACAUACAACGGGUGCAAGCCGGGUUAAACUUGACGAGCCUAGCAUAUGCAUAUACAGCCUCAGAACACUGGAGAUUGAAAGAUCGAGCAUGAAUCAUAUAGUAGAUAUGAUCAACAUAGUGAUGUUCACCAUUGAACACUACUCCAUCUCACGUGAUGAUCGGACAUGGUUUAGUUGAUAUGGAUCACGUGAUCACUUAGAUGAUUAGAGAGAUGUCUAUCUAAGUGGGAGUUCUUAAGUAAUUUGAUUAAUUGAACUUUAAUUUAUCAUGAACUUAGUACCUAAUAGUAUUUUGCAUGUCUAUAUUGUUGUAGAUAGAUGGCCUGUGCUAUUGUUCCGUUGAAUUUUAAUGCGUUCCUAGAGAAAGCAAAGUUGAAAGAUGAUGGUAGCAACUACACGGACUGGGUCCGUAACUUGAGGAUUAUCCUCAUUGCUGCACCCGGCAGAGCAAAGCUCAUGACUACUCGAUAGAUCAGUGUGCCAUGCUUUAUAGCUUAGAACCGGGACUUCAACGACGUUUUGAACGUCAUGGAGCAUAUGAGAUGUUCCAGGUGUUGAAGUUAAUAUUUCAAGCAAAUGCCCGGAUUGAGAGAUAUGAAGUCUCCAAUAAGUUCUACAGUUGCAAGAUGGAGGAGAAUAGUUCUGUCAGUGAACAUAUACCCAGAAUGUUUGGGUACCACAACCACUUGACUCUCGCCCCUCCCAUGCCAUGGAGGCCAUGUACCAGAGGGGAAACCUUUCUACCAUCUAGGGAGAAGGUCAAGGAAGAAGAAUAAGAAGGGGGAUCUCUCCCCUCUCUCCCGGUGGCGCCAGAACACCGCCGUGGCCAUCAUCAUCACCGCAAUCUACACCAACAACUUCACCGCCAUCAUCAAAAACUCUUCCCCCCUCUAUGCAGCGGUGUAACCCCCCUUUUACUUGCUGUAAUCUCUACUUAAACAUGGUUCCCAACUCUAUAUAUUAUUUCCUAAUGAUGUAUGGCUAUCCUAUGAUGUUUGAGUAGAUCCAUUUUGUCCUAUGGGUUAAUUGAUGACCGUGAUUGAUUUGAGUUGCGUGUUUUAUUAUUGGUGCUGUCCUAUGGCGCUCUCCGUGUCGCGCAAGAGUGAGGGAUCCCCGCUGUAGGGUUUGCAAUAUGUCCAUGAUUUUCUUAUGGUGGGUGGCGUGAGUGAGAGAAGCACAUACCCGAGUAAGUAAGUUGUUUGCGUAUGGGAGUAAAGAGGACUUGAUGCCUUAUAAUGCUAUGGUUGGGUUUUACCUUAAUGAUCUUUAGUAGUUGUGGAUGCUUGCUAGAGUUCCAAUCAUAAGUGCAUAUGAUCCAAGAAGAGAAAGUAUGUUAGCUUAUGCCUCUCCCUCAAAUAAAAUUGCAAUAAUGAUUACCGGUCUAGUUAUCGAUUGCCUAGGGACAAAUAACUUUCUUGUGUGACAACAAGCUCUCUACUAAAACUAACUUAGUUGUGUCUUCAUCUAAACAGCCCCUACUUUUUAUUUAAGCGCUCUUUAUUAUCUUGCAAACCUAUCCAACAACACCUACAAAGUACUUCUUGUUUCAUACUUGUUCUAGGUAAAGCGAACGUCAAGCGUGCGUAGAGUUGUAUUGGUGGUCGAUAGAACUUGAGGGAAUAUUUGUUCUACCUUUAGGUCCUCGUUGGGUUUCGACACUCUUACUUAUCGAAAGAGGCUACAAUUGAUCCCAUAUACUUGUGGGUUAUCAGAUGGCAAAGUGAAAUGUAUAUUUGAUGUACAUGUUAUUGAUGUGUACCUUACUAAUGCUCGCAGUAGUGCCUGGGUAUUUGAUACUGGCUCAGUUGCUAACAUUUGCAACUCGAAACAGGGGCUAUGGAUUAAGCGAAUAUUGGCUAAGGACGAGGUGAUGAUGUGCGUGGGAAAUGGUUCCAAAGUCGAUGUGAUCGCCGUCGGCACGCUACCUCUACAUCUACCUUCGAGAUUAGUAUUAGACCUAAAUAAUUGUUAUUUGGUGCCAGCGUUGAGCAUGAGCAUUAUAUCUGGAUCUUGUUUGAUGUGAGACGGUUAUUCAUUAAAAUCAGAGAAUAAUGGUUGUUCUAUUUAUAUGAGUAAUAUCUUUUAUGUUCAUGCACCCCUGAUGAGUGGUCUAUUUUUACUAAGUCUUGAUAGUAUUGAUACACAUGUUCAUAGUAUUGAAUCCAAAAGAUGCAGAGUUGAUAAUGAUAGUGCAACUUAUUUGUGGCACUGCCGUUUAGGUCAUAUUGGUGUAAAGUGCAUGAAGAAACUCCAUUCUGAUGGACUUCUGGAAUCACUUGAUUAUGAACCACUUGGUACUUGCGAACCAUGCCUCAUGGGCAAGAUGACUAAAACUCCGUUCUCCGGAACAAUGGAGUGAGCAAUAGAGUUAUUGGAAAUCAUACAUACUGAUGUGUGUGGUCCAAUGAACAUUGAAGCUCACGGCGGAUAUCGUUAUUUUCAUACAACGGGCUAUUGUUCAUCCACCGUCGACCUCAUGCAGCCUCCACCUGUGACUGUUCAUCCACGGGCUCCUGUUCAUGCAGCCUCCACCGCGCGCUACUCCACCGGCUACUGUUCAACCAGCCCUCUCCACGGGCUCCUGUUCAACCACCCCUCCACGGGCUACUGUUCAUCCAGCCCUCCACCGUCUACUUUUCAUCCUGCCCUCCAUGGGGUGGUCCUGUUCAUCCAGCCAUCCAUGGGGUCCUAUUCAUCCAGCCCCAACCGGCUCGAUCGAUCGGGGUCCUGUUCAUCUAGAGGCAACACCACGGGGUCCUGUUCAUCCACCCCCAUCGGGAACUGUUCAUCCAACCCCCCCAGCAACGCUCACUGUUCAUCCAGAGGUAGCAUCGAUCGGCUUCAGUUAGCAGCAGUAGCGAAGGAAUCGCUCGAUUGGGUCCAGUUAACACCCAUCGAUCGAUCGCUUGGGUUCAGUAAUGCGUAGCCUGCAGUGCAAUCGCUCGGGUUUAAUUAGAGCCCAACGCCUCGCUCGGGUUCAGUUAGAGCCCAAUGCCUCGCACCCACGCGCGUGCGUGUACAAGAGAAACGCGCAUCGCUCGGCCCCGACCACCCAUCGUAACCGGGAACACCCCAAUAUUUUCCUCGCCCUCGCUUCUACCAUGGUUUUUUUCCGUCAUGGAUGGCCCAAAGAAUGUCAUGCAACCGCGUCUUCGGCCCGCCCAGGACGAAAAGCCCAUUUUGUCAUGAUUUUUUGUCAUAGAAGUAGGACCCCACCACAUCUAUGAUGAUACCAGGUUUUCUCACAAUUAUCGUCAUAGAAGUGUCAUAAGUAUGACAUAAUUUUUUUUCAUUCGGCCCAAAAUGUCAUAGAUGUGUCUUUUUUUGUAGUGCUACCAAUGUGAGUUUAGUGAUAAUGGUAUCGUAUCUUCAUAUGCUAAGGGUGUUUAUAAUUACUAUGAUGUUCAACAAAUUGAAGAAUUUGUUGCUUUUAAGGGUGCUUAUGAAAUUGCUUCUUUGAUUGAAAAGUAUGAUGCUACUCUUUACAAAUCUGAAAAUUUUGCCAUACUUAAAUAUUGUUAUGAUAGUUAUGCUUCUAAUGCCUAUGUUAAACCAUAUAUCGAGGACUCCUCUGUUGUCCAAGAAGAGACUAAUAUUUUGCAGGAGUCUAUGGAAGAAGAGAUUGAUGAAACUGUGAGCUCAUUAGAUGAAAAAGAUGAUGAGGAGAGCGAAGAACAAAAGGAGGAAGAUCGGAUUAGCUACCCGUGCCCACCUUCUAAUGAGAGUAACUCUCCAACUCUUACAUUAUUUAAUGUCCCUUUGUUCUUACCGAAGGAUGAUCGCUAUGAUGAUUAUUAUGAUCCCAUUGAUUCUUUUGAAAUACCCCUUUUUGAUGAACUUGGUGCUUUCUAUGCUUGUGGCCAUGAUGCCAAUAUGAAUGAUGCUUAUGGUGAUGAACUUGCUAUAGUUCCAUAUGUUAAACAUGCAAUUGUUGCUAUUGCACCCACACAUAAUAGUCCUAUUAUCUUUUUGAAUUCUCCAAACUACACUAUAUAGGAGAAGUUUGCUCUUAUUAAGGAUUAUGUUGAUGGGUUGCAUUUUACCGUUGCACAUGAUGAUUUUGAUGAAUGUAAUAUGCAUGUGCUUGCUGCUCCUACUUGCAAUUAUUAUGAGAGAGGAACUACAUCUCCACCUCUCUAUGUUUCCAACAAGAUAAAAUUGCAAGAAACUGUUUAUACUAUGCAUUGGCCUUUACUAUGUGUGCAUGAAUCAUUCUUUUAUGACAUGCCGAUGCAUAUAAGAGAGUUAGAGUUCGUAAUUGCUUGAUAUAUGUUGCUUUGUGCUCACUACUGAAUGCCAAAUCAUUGCUAAUUCAAAUUGGCUUUGAUAUACCUUGGGAUCCGGGUGGAUCCAUUACUUGAGCACUAUAUGCCUAGCUUAAUGGCUUUAAAGAAAGCGCUGCCAGGGCGACAACCCGGAAGUUUUAGAGAGUAAUUUAUUUCUGUUGUGCUUUUAUAUAGUUUAAAAACAAAAAAAUAAAGAGGGGAACCCAAAACUUUUCAAAAAGGAAAGUGAAAGUGAGAGAGACAAGCAUUGUUGAAGUGGGGGAGCUCCUUGAACUUUGUUCAUGCUCACAGAAACUUUGUGAAUCUUGAUUACAGGAACUUUUCAACAAAAAUAAUUAUCCCCUUGUACAAUUCCAUUGUAUUAUAAAAAUAAUGUGCCAAGAUUUGCCUUUAGGAUGUUUACAUUGCUUGUUGGUUUGUGCGGUGCAGAACAGAAACUUUGGCUGUAGUGCGUGAUUUUACAUUUUGUACUGGAAUGUCAAACGGUUCUGAAACUUUUUGCACCGUAUUUCUAUACAAAUUGUUUAUUUUUCCGAAUUUUAGCAGAAUGUUUUGAGUAACAGAGGUAUGGUGAAUGUUCAGAUUACUACAGACUGUCCUGUUUAAGACAGAUUCUGUUUUUGAUGCAUUGUUUGCUUGUUUUGAUGAAACUAUCGAUUUCUAUCAGUGGAUUAAGCCAUGUAAAAGUUAUAUUACAGUAGCUACAGUGCAAAAUAAAAUAUGAAUUGGUUUGAAACAGUAUUAGAGUAGUGAUUUGCUUUAUUAUACUAACGGAUCUUACCGAGUUUUGUGUUGAGUUUUGUGUGGAUGAAGUGUUCGAAGAUCGAGGAGGUCUCGAUGUGAGAAGGAGGAGGAGAGGCAAGAGCUCAAGCUUGGGGAUGUCCAAGGAACCCCAAGUAAAUAUUCAAGGAGACUCAAUCGUCUAAGCUUGGGGAUGCCCCGGAAGGCAUCCCAUCUUUCUUCAACAAGUAUCAGUAUGUUUUCGGAUUCGUUUUGUUCAUGCGAUAUGUGCAAAUCUUGGAGCGUCUUUUGCAUUUUGUUUUCACUUUUCUUUUAUGCACCAUGCUGGUAUGAGAUAGUCUUUGGUUGAUUUAUAGAAUUCUCAUUGCACUUCACUUAUAUCUUUUGAGUAUGGCUUUAUAGAAUGCUUCAUGUGCUUCACUUAUAUCAUUUGAAGUUUGGAUUGCCUCUUUCUCUUCACAUAGAAAACCACCAUUUAUAGAAUGCUCUUUUGCUUCACUUAUAUUUGUUAGAGCGUGGGCAUAUCUUUUGUAGAAAGAAUUAAACUCUCUUGCUUCACUUAUAUAUAUUUAGAGAGAUGACAUGAAUUGGUCAUUCACAUGGUUAGUCAUAAAAUCCUACAUAAAACUUGUAGAUCACUGAUUAUCAUAUGUUUGGUUCCUUGCAAUAGUUUUGCGAUAUAAAGGUGGUGAUAUUAGAGUCGUGCUAGUGGGUAGUUGUGAAAUUGAGAAAUACUUGUGUUGAGGUUUGCAAGUCCCGUAGCAUGCACGUAUGGUAAACAUUGUGUGACAAAUUUGAAGCAUGGGGUGUUCUUUGAUUGCUUUCCUUCUGAGUGGCGGUUGGGGACGAUCGAUGGUCUUUUCCUACCAAUGUAUCCCCCUAGGGGCAUGCGCAGUAGUACUUUGCUUCAAGGGCUAAUAAACUUUUGCAAUAAGUAUAUGAGUUCUUUAUGACUAAUGUUGAGUCCAUGGAUUAUACGCACUCUCACCCUUCCAUCAUUGCUAGCCUCUUCUGUACCAUGCAUUGCCCUUUCUCACCUCGAGAGUUGGUGCAAACUUCGCCGGUGCAUCCAAACCCCGUGAUACAAUACACUCUAUCACACAUAAACCUCCUUAUAUCUUCCUCAAAACAACCGCCAUAACUACCUAUCAUGGCAUUUCCAUAGCCAUUCCAAGAUAUAUUGCCGUGCAACUUCCAUCAUCAUCAUAUACAUGACUUGAGCAUUUAUUGUCGUAUUGCUUUGCAUGAUCGUAAGAUAGCUAGCAUGAUGUUUUCAUGUCUUGUCCGUUUUUUGAUUUCAUUGCUUCGCUAGAUCAUUGCACAUCCCAGUACACCACCGGAGGCAUUCAUAUAGAGUCAUAUCUUUGUUCUAGUAUCGAGUUGUAAUAUUGAGUUGUAAGUAAAUAAAAGUGUGAUGAUCAUCAUUAUUAGAACAUCGUCCCAUGUGAGGUUAUCAAAAUAAAAGAGGCCAAAGAAGCCCAAAUAAAAAAAGAGGCCAAAGAAGCCCACCAAAAAAAGAGAAAAAAAGAGAAAAAACCAAAAAAGAGGGACAAUGUUACUAUCCUGUUACCACACUUGUGCUUCAAAGUACCACCAUGUUCUUCAUAUAGAGAGUCUCAUUGAGUUAUCACUUUCAUAUACUAGUGGGAAUUUUCAUUAUAGAACUUGGCUUGUAUAUUCCGAUGAUGGGCUUCCUCAAAUGCCCGAGGUCUUCAUGAGCAAGCAAGUUGGAUGCACACCCACUUAGUUUCAGUUCGAGCUUUCAUAUACUUAUAGCUCUAGUGCACCCGUUGCAUGGCAAUCCAUACUCCUCACAUUGACAUCAAUUGAUGGGCAUCUCCAUAGCCCGUUGAUUAGCCGCGUUGAUGUGAGACUUUCUCCUUUUUUGUCUUCUCCACACAAACUCCACCAUCAUAUUCUAUUCCACCUAUAGUGCUAUGUCCAUGGCUCACGCUCAUGUAUUGCAUGAGGGUUGAAAAGGCUAAAACGUGUUAAAAAGUAUGAACCAAUUGCUCGGCUUGUCAUCGGGGUUGUGCAUGAUGGGAGCAUUUUGUGUGACGAAAAUGAAGUAUGGCCAAACUAUAUGAUUUUGUAGGGAUGAGCUUUCUUUGGCUAUGUUAUUUUGAGAGUACAUGAUUGCUUUAUUAGUAUGCUCGAAGUAUAUUUGUCUUAAUGUCAAAUGAUAGACUAUUGCUCUGAAUCACUCAUGUCUUAAUAUUCGUGCCAUCAUUAGAUUACAUGAUCAAGAUUAUGCUAGGUAGCAUUCCACAUCAAAAAUUAUCUUUUUUUAUCAUUUGCCUACUCGAGGAUGAGCAGGAAUUAAGCUUGGGGAUGCUGAUACGUCUCUGUCUUAUCUAUAAUUUUUGAUUGUUCCAUGCCAAUAUUAUACAACUUUCAUAUACUUUUGGAAACUUUUUAUACUAUUUUUGGGACUAACAUAUUGAUCCAGUGCCCAGUUCUAGUUCCUAUUUGUUGCAUGUUUUUUGUUUCACAGAAAAUCCAUAUCAAACAGAGUCCAAACAGGAUAAAAACUGACGGUUUUUUGGAAUAUAUGUGAUUUUUGGAAAGAAGAAUCAACGCGAGACAAUGCCCGAGGGGGCCAUGAGGCAGGGGGGCGCGCCCCAGGGGGUCAGGUGCGCCCUGGGCCCUCGUGCCCACCCCAUAAGACGGUUGGUGCCCUUCUUUUGCCGCAAGAAAGCUAAUAUCCAGAUAGAGAUCGUGUCCAAAAUUCAGCCCAUUCGAAGUUACAGAUCUCCAGGAAUUUAAGAAACGGUGAAAGGGCAGAAUCAGGAACGCAGAAAUAGAGAGAGACAGAGAGACAGAUCCAAUCUCGGAGGGGCUCUCGCCCCUCCCAUGCCAUGGAGGCCAUGGACCAUAGGGGAAACCCUUCUCCCAUCUAGUGAGAAGGUCAAGGAAGAAGAAGAAGAAGGGGGCUCUCUCCCCCUCUCUCCCGGUGGCGCCGGAACACCGCGGGGGCCAUCAUCAUCACCGCAAUCUACACCAACAACUUCACCGCCAUCAUCACCAACUCUUCCCCCCUCUAUGCAGCGGUGUAACCCCCCUUUUACCUGCUGUAAUCUCUACUUAAACAUGGUGCCCAAUGCUAUAUAUUAUUUCCCAAUGAUGUAUGGCUAUCCUAUGAUGUUUGAGUAGAUCCGUUUUGUCCUAUGGGUUAAUUGGUGAUCGUGAUUAGUUUGAGUUGCAUGUUUUAUUAUUGGUGCUGUCCUAUUGUGCUCUCCGUGUCAUGCAAGCGUGAGGGAUCCCCUCUAUAGGGUUUGCAAUAUUUUCAUGAUUUGCUUAUGGUGGGUGGCGUGAGUGACAUAAGCAUAGACCCGAGUAAGUAGGUUAUUUGCGUAUGGGAGUAAAUAGGACUUGAUGCCUUAUAAUGCUAUGGUUGGGUUUUACCUUAAUGAUCUUUAGUAGUUGCAGAUGCUUGCUAGAGUUCCAAUCAUAAUCGCAUAUGAUCCAAGAAGAGAAAGUAUGUAGCUUAUGCCUCUCCCUCAAAUAAAAUUGCAAUAAUGAUUACCGGUCUAGUUAUCGAUUGCCUAGGGACAAAUAACUUUCUUGUGUGACAACAAGCUCUCUACUAAAACUAACUUAGUUGUGUCUUCAUCUAAACAACCCCUACUUUUUAUUUACGUGCUCUUUAUUAUCUUGCAAUUUGGGCUGGGCCUCCGGUUAAUAGGUUAGUCCCAAAAAUCAUAUAAAAUAGCAUAUAAAUGCAUAUAAAACAUCCAAGGUUGAUAAUAUAAUAGCAUGGAACAAUCAAAAAUUAUAGAUACGUUGGAGACGUAUCACUUGUUGUUCUGAAAACCCUAAGAAACACCUUCCCUACACUACAAAAAAAUACACUUUCAUGAUGAUACGUGUUUGUCACAGUAGGUCACGUUUUCUGUGAUGCAUGUACAUCCAUGACAAAUUUAUGACAGAAUCAAGAUAGUCAUACCUCUGCUGUCGUAGAAGUGUUCCAUGACAUUACCAAAAUUAUCAUCACGGAAGUGUCCACUUCCAUGAAGAUAAAUCGCGCGUCACAUGAGUGCUUUCGUCAAGGGUGACCGACACGUGGCAUCCACCGUAACGGAACGUCGUUAAGCUAUCGGGUCCGGUUUUGGAUCCGAUAACCCGUUAACAGCCCGAACCAAUGGGGAUUUUCCACGCGUAAAAUUUUGAUUGGUUGAUGGACACACAUGUCAGCUCCGCGUUGGCACAUGUGUCACUUAUCCAAUGGGCGAGAUGCGCCUAUGAUAUGUUGACACAUGGACCGACCCAAAAGUGGCCCAUAAAGUUUAAAUGGGACGGCCCAACUAAAGGCCCACAAGAUUUUGCGGUCCAUAAUGGGCCGACCCAGCAAAAGGCCCACGAGAUUUUGCGUAUCAUAAUGGGCUGGCCCAGCUAAAGGCGCACGAGAUUUUGCUGGCCAUAAUGGGAUGGCCCAGCUAAAGACCCACAAGAUUUUGCAGUCCAUAAUGGGUCGGCCCAGCUAAAGGCCCAACAUUCUCAGUUAAGGCCCGUACAGCUAGUGUCAAAUCAGCCCGUCAACGGCCUGUCAUAAACUUGUCAUCAUUGCAGCCCAUGGUCACUUCUGGCCCGUUAACAGUCCGCUAAGUAUAUGGGACGAAUUACGGCCCGAUGUAUUUUCGGCGUGUUAAAGGUCCUGCUUCAUUUGGGCCCAUUUACAGGCCACUGAAACUUUCAGCCCAUAAACGACCGUGAAGGAUCUGGGUCAUAUUCGUCCAUGUCUGACAUUCGGCCUAUUAGAGGCCCACUAUAGAUUUGGGCCACUUUCGUCCUGUUGUGAUUUUUGGCCUAUUAAUGUCGGACGAAAUCCAUGGGCCAUAUGUGGCCCAACAUCACAUCGGGCCCAUUAACGGCCCAUAUAAAAAUGAAAAUAAUCUAGCCCGACCGAACUUCCGGCCUGUUAAAGGCCCGUGUAUUAGGUCGGCGCAUUUACGGCCCGUCCGAAUUUUGGCAUGUGAAAAAACCGCAUCGUAAAUGGGCCACCAUUUCGGCUUGCUUAACCAGUGGGUUAUUUGGCACAAUCAGAGCCCAAUCUCACUUUCGGUCUUUUAAAGGCCCAUGUUUUUAAUGGGCUCGAGAUAUUUACACCUGUAAACGACCUAUUGUUACUGAGGGCCCAAAUUAUAUUUAUGCCUGUUAAAGGCCCACUAUGGGCACAGGUCUACCAGAAAAUAUGAAAUCUUAUGCCGAUUUAGGCCUAGAUAUUUUUAGUGGGCUACAUGCAAAUUUUGGCCCAUAAUCGUUUUUAGCCCAAUUGGAAUGGGUCCGACGAAUGUUGGCAUGUUGGGCUCCUACGAAGCUUUCGACCGAAUACAUUACUAAGAUAAACCUACACUAUACAAAAUAGCUUCGUAAUUAUUGAAGCCUUUGGCAGCAUCAUAAAUGCUGUAUCACAAUAAAAUAAAUUCCAACCAUACAAAAAAGGCCUGUUGGCAUAAAGUUUACAGUCCUUGCAGAUAAAAGCACCAUCAGAUGUAUAGAAGCAUAGAUCAUUUGACCCGAGUGCUAAUGUUUCAGGCUGUAGAAUCUGAUGGAGCAGCAUGAUCUUCACCUUUUUUCUGCCAUUGCUCUUGAACAACGAAGCGAAUGUCUGAUAGUCUGGUUUCAAAACCAUUCAUAUCUUAACGACAUUUGUCAACCACUAUUCUUGUUUCCAAAACGACGUCCAUUAGGGAUUGGACUUGUGUCUGGAGCACAGAUAUAUCACUCUGUCUAGUAGGAAGAUUUUGUUCAGUAGGCGAUUUGGACGAGGUUACCUUGACAACCAACCCAGAAUUACGCAGGAAGGUGCUUUUUGCACUUGUAAGUGCAUCUAGUGCCCCUUAGUGAUUUUGGUGUAUUGAAGACUUAUAGGUUAAGGGACUAAUGUGUUUAUGAGUGUACACAAGUCUAUAAGACUAUGAGGAGUUUGAUAUUUACAGAGAAAGUCGACCCCUAAAAAUGAAGUUCUUCGACUGAAGACUUUGGAUUUCUGAAGACUUUCUGAAGACUUCGAAAGUGAAGAAAUUGGUGUGACCUUGAAGACUUGGUAUUCACUCGAGGAACAUGAAGUGUGAAGACUUUUGUUUUUGUAGUUUCAUUUUCUCUUUCUUGAGUCAUAGGAAACACCGUACUAUUAAAGGGGGUCGAGGAAAUACUAAGGAAAAAUUUCCAUGUGAUGCUCAACUCAAAAUCCUACACCUACCAAUCCCUCGAGUGAAGCCAUUGGAAAUCUCAUACAGUUCAGUCAUAUUCUUCAGUGACAGAGACAAAGUUCUUCUGGUCCCUGAGGAAUUUGUUCUGACUCAGGAGUUAGGAAUUCGCCAGUACGGAUUGCCUACAUAGUGAGGAACAUGAUAGCCCUGAGGAAUUUGAUACUCAUUUCCGACCGUUGCUGUGCCUUGUGCCAGCUGUCCCAAAAUAUCUACCCACCUAACGGUCAUAUCAUCAUUGAAGGGAAUUUAUGUCUUAUCAUGUCGGGCUGCUCCCUAGGCUAUAAAUAGCCGCCCCCUACAACCACUAGCUGGUUGGCUGCUCCGAGAAAAACUGACACUUGUCAUUUGAGAGCAUCCCGUCCUCCGAGGACUUUGAGUGAAAAUCAUCAAGUGAGGAAAACCCAAACCCAAACACCUAGAAACCCCAAGUGAUUGAGCAUCACUUAAGAGAUUGAUCCUGCGUGGAUCCGACGCUUGUUACCUUUGAAGACUGUGCAUCUUCUAGACAGUUAGGCGUCAUGGUCUAGAGCAUCCAAGAGGAAUUGUGGAUCACCGAGUGACCGAGUUUGUGAAGGUUCGGAAGUCACCUGAAGACUUACCACGAGUUAUUGGGUGAGGUCUGUGUGACCUUAGCUCAAGGGGAAUAUGGUGAGGACUGAGUGUUCUGAACUGCGUGUUCAGGACUGGGUGUCCGGGACUGUGUGUCCUUAGGUUUAAAUACCUAGCCGCCCUAACUAGACGUACAACUGUCACAACAGUUGGAACUGGUCUACCAAAUCAUUGUCUUCACCAAGCUACCUGGUUCCAUUUCCUCAACCCUUCCAUUUGCUCAGUUAUGUGUUGAGUGCUUGUUCAUAUCUGUUUGAAGACUUUGACUGAAGACUUUCUCAAUUUCCUCAGUUCAAUUUCUUCAGUCUGUUUGUCUUCAUCCUGUGUCAUCCCGUGUUUACGCUUUCCGUACUCUGUGCUUGUCUUCAUUUCAUCAUGAUGACCAUGCUUGUGUUCUGUUAUGUUUACUUCUGAGUACUUAUUCUGCUGCAAGUAGUUCUUCGCUAAGAAAUUUCCUCACCCUGAAAUUCCUCAGUGAAGAAUUCCUAAAAAUCGCCUAUUCACCCCCCUCUAGUCGAUAUAACGCUCUUUCAAUUGGUAUUAGAGCAAGGUACUCCCUUGUUCUGUGUGAUUUUGGUUUAACCACCUGGAGUUCUAGUUAUGUCGACUGUAGGUAUGAUCAAGGUUUCUGCUGGGUGUCCUACCUUUGAUGGGAUGGACUACCCCUACUGGAAGAAUAAUAUGCGCAUGCAUGUUGAGGCAAUUGAUAACGAUCUCUAGUACGUUGUGGAGAAUGGUGUUCCCUCUUGUCGGUUCAAUGUCCGGCAUAUCUCGUAGUAGGGGUCCUAAGCUAGGCUUCUUGGAGCGAUGGUAACAUGGACACGGGAUUUACCCAGGUUCGGGCCCUCCUGAUGGAGGUAAAACCCUACGUCCUACUUUUGAUUGUAUUCAUAUGGGUGUAGUACAGAGUACAUAUGUCUACCACGAGACUGAUCUAAUGAAUAUGAGAUUGUCUAUUGACUAGCCUAGCCUCGGUUUAUAUAAGACACCGGAGGCCUAGGGUUUAGGAGAGUCCUUGUCUUGGGCUCCAAGUCUUGUGGAGUCUUCCUUGUAUGCAGCAGGGGUUGUCCAAACUGGCCCACGAGUAUGCGGCCAUGGGGUCCUCGCCCCAAUCUAACUGAUUGGGAGACGACGUGGUGAGUACCCCCUAGUCCAGGACACCGUCAGUAGCCCACUGAACCGGUCUUCAAGUUGGGGAUGCUCCUCAAUUCUUCUAAACUGUUCUUCAUCUUUGGUCGUCGGUCUUGAAAACUGGUUCAACAAAUCUUCCCAUCUUCGAUCUUGAGGAUCGCCAAAGUGCAUCCGAAGAGUUUACACAUCGGGUAUCCGAGGAGCCCCUUUAAGUUUCCGGCCUUUAUCAAUGCCUUGUUAUUUUCACGCCCACCUCGGGUUUGAAGUUGUCCCCGUGCAGCGGUGUCGUCUUGCAUCCGAGCUCCAAUGCCGGACUGCAUUUGAGGUAUCCUUUGCAGAUGAGCACCAAAGCCGGACUAUAUCCGAGCUCCAACGCCGGACUGAAUCCAAACUCCAACGCCGGAGAGUAUCCGAGCUCCAACGCCGGACUAUAUCCGAGGUGUCAUGGAUCACCUUGGCUCAAAAAAGUCGAAGGAGUUUAGCCGAGCUUAAUGCCAGAAAUGCCCUCUACAGAGCCAACCACAGUCGUCCGAGAUUUAUGCCGGACUGCUUCCGGGGUGUCUAUGGUAGUCGAGCACCAACGUCGAACUGUAUCCGAGGUAAUACACCACCUCGUCCAUGGGCUGAUUUUUAUGAAUUUAAUCUCGAAUUGUGCAAUGUAACCUCCGCUGAGAUGUAUAGCCAGUAGCCCUCAAGGUGCGUGUUGGCCUAAUAUCCGGUAUGCACCUGAAGGAAAAAAAGUCAAACCGCUGACCCUAGUAGCCCGUGAGACUCAGGUCGAUUCAUAAAAUCAGCCUGAGGAUCAAUUCCCAGGUCAGCAACAUACUUAGGAAUAGAAACACGGUGUGCAAAGUUCUCAAGACUCAGGUUGGGUGCGGCCGACCAACCUGAGGAUAAUAAUCUCCUCGAAAACUAUAUUGCACUUUAAAUUUUCUGCAUUGGAUUGUCAAUGCAGUAGCCCCCGAGACACUGGUCAAGUGGCAACACCAGAUCAGGGGAUCGAUGUACCCCUUUAAUAUUUGUAAAUAAUAAGCACGAAGCCCAAUAGCCCCCGAGCCUUAAUGUGGGCAGGGGUGGCCGAAUUAAGGAUCGAUAUCCAAAGUAAAAUCACAAAUUAUGUGUAAUGAUUCUAUGUAUCCAAAUACUUUUCAUCAUCAAUGCUCGGAUCCGCAUUGUACAAAACUUUGUUGACCAACCAUCGGCUUCCACCUCCUUGGCCAGUAGCCGAGGAGUGUUUGUCCUACUUUAUAAAGCCUUUACAAGGGCAAAGAUUUACGACAAACAAGGCAAUCCGGCCAUACGGUUUUAUAAACAAAGGUACGCAGAGAGAUAUGUUGUAUUACGGUUUAAUAUAAGAAAUGUCUUCCAAAGAAAAUAGUCUCGCUAUCGGUUCCUUUCUUUGGGUUGUCAUGCUAAGCAUGAUCAUGAAACCUUAGCUCUAAUGUAAGAGCAAAAUAUUGAGGAUUUAGUAUGGGAGGCCAGCUACUAGCCCCUGGUAGUGUUCGGCAACAGUCGAGGUCAAGCCGUAAACACUUCGGCCAAUGUUAUGAAUGGCCUGUCAUUUAACACGGCCAUCGGAUCGCUGACUAGUUUACACUUAUUGUGACAGUCAGUUUUCAGCUUUCUCCACUGAGGUGCUUAACCAUGUGAGCUGGAAGCACAAUCGCAGUGGUUCUCCCUUUGCACACCUAGCCAAACAAAGUGCAACGUAGGAGGCAAGCACAGGAGCUGGGCAACCCAACUAUUGACUAAAGACACAAUUCGAAACCGAUGCAUAUAAAGCAAUACCCGAGAAUGUUUUGCCGAAUCUCUAAACAUGUCCGGCGCUGCACUUCGAGACUUGUGCUGGAAACACACAAAUAGUUUAAAAGUGCCAAAAGCUUGGAAAACCAAAAAACACCAGUAAAAACAUGACGUCCGAACAAGAUCACGUGUUCGGUGCCAAUCCGAAAAUUGGAAAAAAGAAUUGUGCUUCUGUCGCGCUUUAACAUGACACAUCCGAUCUCAAGACUUCACGCGGGUCAGCCUACGGCUUCAAGCUCCUUAUCCCAAAGGCGGAGUACUUCUCCGAGGUCAGUUUAGCAAACUAAACUCGAGCAACUUUCAGAGAGAAGACAGGCUAUCCGGCUAUUGACCAUACACUCAAGUCGAAAAAGGAGCGGUAGAAAAAGACUUUGCAACGACCAAGAAGAAAACACAUUUACUAUUCAACAACUCAUAUAAAUUUUAAGAGCCCCCAAGUGACUUGGAUAAAAGAAUUUUAUGUAUAAUGAUUGUAUGUACCGAUGUACUUAUAUCAUAUCUGUGUUCACCCGAACUUUAAACGCGUCUUAACCGACCGUCGACUUCUCCCUCUUCGGUCAAGGACCGAAAAGUGUCAUGUACUCCACCUGUCGAGAGUAUCGACGGUGUUUCCGAUGACCAUACAAUCAGGCCAUAAGGCUGUAACAGACAAAGCGCGCUCAGGGAACUUAUGCUAUAUUACUGACGAAGUGUAAGAAGCAUCUUCGAAGAAAAUAGUACCCCCACCGAUACCUUUCUUCGGUGCUCAUUUUUACUAUGAGACUUGUGCAAUAGAUUUUUUGUACUCAUGAGUUCCGUUGUGUGCCGACCAUGAUUGAAAACAAUAAGAGCGCUAGCUUUCGGCUUCACCCAGUCAGAGGUCAGAGCUUGGAUGACCCGGUCGUGACAAUCGCAGAGGUGCUCCCUUUACUCCCUAGCCGAACAAUCGGGAACGUAGGGGUAAACACAAGAGCGAGGCAACCCAGCUUGCAAAUCGCUUAGGUCAAUAUGGUGCAUAUUGUGGCAUAAUACACGAACAAGGAACGAAGCCGUACAAGUAUAAUUAUAUGCAAGAGGAAAAGCUUCAUGAAGGAAGCCCCCAAGUAAACGGGGUAUUUGAAUUUGCGUGUCACAAACAAAGUUUUGACAAGGAACUUUGUCACAAGCAGUCUUUUUGCAAAAAGAAGUAUAAUGCUUGGUCGAAACGAACAAAAUUUAAAACUGAAAGUUUUUGAGCAUGAAAGCUACUUAGCUGGUUAGUGUGCUCAGUGUUGAUGAUGAGGUCCGAACUUAUGGCGGGACGAAGACAUAAUCCUCGGCCUGACCGAGGUCCCAACCCUAAGCCGGUUCCGAAGUGUCCGAAAAAAACUCGGCUUGACGAAGUGGCGACAUAGCACGGUUGAAGUUGGUGCACACAGGGACGCACGUUGAAGCGACACCGCAAUUUGAUCGGUGCAGGCAGGACGACGACAUCAGCCCACAGAGUUGACCGCGUGACGCAGUCAAAGUUGAUUACCUGUGCACAUAAAAAUAGUGCAAGACAAAGGUACUAACAAGUAAUGAUAGUAAUAAGGGUGUGUCUAGGGCACAUCUAGAUGUCCUCUAGUUAUUGCACAUCUAAGUGAGUGAAUCAAGCAUAAAAAGAAAAAGAAAAAAAGAAAAAAAAUAUUCACACGAAUCUCAAUGUAAGAUCAAUGACAUAUAACUUAGAUGUGCAAUACUUAUGGCACAUCUAGAUGUGCUUUAGCAAAACUGAUAGUAAUAAUAUUCCUUUUUUUUAAAAGUUCUUUUGCUUAUUUAACUCAAGCGAAGUAAAUAAUUAAAUAAACAUGGCCUGAGCGCCAAGGUCGGCAUGGCGGAGUGGCCGCGCGGAGAUGUCAGCAGAGGCACACGCGCCGAGGUGACCCCAAAACUUGGUCGACGCAGGCGGGAUGAUGACAUCGGCCCGCCAUGACACCAUCUACAUGCAUGAAAUAGCACAAGACAGAUAAUAAUAACAAAAUAUAGAAAAGAAAAUUUCUUUACAAUUUUUUAUGUAAAAUAAAUUAUUAAAAGGAGAUUUGUCCUGGCACGAGGCCGGUGUGUCGCAGGGCGUCAGUGUGACGAGGUGACAAAAUCCAAAUUCGCAGGGUCGCCCGGGUUAUGGAACGAUGAGUGCGGGACAACGACAGCAUAUCGAAUCGCCCUAAGAAGACAGCCUCAAGGUAGACCAGACUGCAAAACCUGUAGUACGAAUCGUCGAUGAGCAGAAAAUACUCUUUGAAAUGUUAUUAAUAUGCACAAUGUGAAUAACUAGAACAAUUGCACCUAUCGACUUAUCCGAUGACGUCGAAGCUGAUAGCAGGCGAGAUGAUUAUGGAUGAGGGACGUCCUUGCCGGAGUGCGUCAAGACUGCGUCAGGCCGACCAAUAUACGGAACUGUCGAUCUGAAUGCGGAGGUCAGUUUGAUGAAGGUUCUGACGCUUAUGUCGGCUGGCCAGAUCGAUGCAGACGAAAAAAGCAUUUACAAGCAUCGGCAAGUAUCUCUGCAAAAAAUAAUGCAGUACAAACCAACAGAAAAUGAUCCACGUGCAACAAUCCCUAGAACAUAGUAAAAGGAAAGGGAUCCACGCUUCCUGUUGACCGCCUCUUAGUGCACAUAGCAAUUUGAGGGAAAAGUAAACUUGGCCAUGUACUCCACGUGAAGUGGUGGUGUUACGUAGCUAGCUAAACCAGUACUAGCGCCUUAUUCUGGUAGUAGUAGCACUAGUUGGCGUGGUAGUCAUCAAGAAGUGAAGGCCGGGUGCAAAACUAGUACAUGAUUGCGUUAGAACUAUGCAAACUUUAACAAAAAUAAAAAACUACUAGUGGACAACCGAUGGCAGGCUGAAUUAAAUAAGGAAAAAGAAUGAGAAUAAGGGAAAGGAUCUCCCUUGAUGAUCGAUGCCAGUGGUGGAUUUGUCCUUGCUCCGCGAUCAAGAACUGCAUGUGCCAUUAGGGCCAGUUUGAAAAUCCAUUAAACGCCCCCGUCUGUCGAUCAAAGGACCGGAGUAGGGCGCUAAACACAGUGUAGGAGCGCGUCGUUGAUCGCAGAUUUUUUAGACCUUGAUCUCGACCUAAUCUGCGGACCAAGCUUGCAAACCAGAGACAAUUAUCAUAAAAACUAACUUGUGAAAAAUAGAUUUGAUUAUAAAAAUAUCACCUGAUCAUCCCAUCGAUCCGCGUCGAUCACCUAGCAGGCUCUCAAUGAAAGCACCAAUGCCAGUUGAAUAUCCGGCGUAUCUCGUAGUAGGGGUCCUAAGCUAGGCGUAUUGGAACGAUGGUAAUAUGGACACGGGAUUUACCCAGGUUCGGGCCCUCUUGAUGGAGGUAAAGCCCUACGUCCUGCUUUUGAUUGUAUUCAUAUGAGUGUAGUACAGAGUACAUAUGUCUACCACGAGACUGAUCUAAUGAAUAUGAGAUUGUCUAUUGACUAGCCUGGCCUCGGUUUAUAAGACACCGGAGGCCUAGGGUUUAGGAGAGUCCUUGUCUUGGGCGCCAAGUCUUGUGGAGUCUUCCUUGUAUGCGUCAGGGGUUGUUCGAACUGGCCCACGAGUAUGCGGUCAUGGGGUCCUCGGCCCAAUCUAACUGAUCGGAAGACGACGUGGUGAGUACCCCCUAGUCCAGGACACCGUCACCUUUGUCACUCCCACCAUCAAUGCUGCUAAUGUGAAGAGAUUCAAGCAACUCGACUCUCAAGCGAAGAAUAUCAUAUGUGGCCAUCUGAGCAGAGGACAGUAUGGCAGAGUGAGUGCUUUGGACACAGCCAAGCUUAUCUGGGACAUGCUGUCCAAGGUCAAUGAGGGAGUCUCAACACAACGUGACUCUAGAGUUGACGUUUUUCGAAAUCUCUUCAACCGCUUCAAAAGACUCAACAAUGAAAAUGUUCAACAAGCCUUCGAUCGCCUCACUGACAUCUCAAAUGAGCUUCAAGCACUUGGUGCCGCAGAUAUCACUGACCAUGAGGUGGUGAAGAAAUUGCUGAGAUCGCUUGAUUCCUCAUUUGAUACCUUGGCAUUGAUGAUACAAGAACGUGGAGACUAUAAGUCACUUGAUCCCGCUGACAUCCUCGAGAGACUAAACACUCAUGAGUUUCAGCUUGCUGAGAAGAGAGAUCUCUAUGGACCAAGCUAUGGUAGAUCACGGGCUCUGAAGGCCAAGGCCGUAUCCAAAUCUGAUGGUGAAGAUUCUGACAGAAGCCUUGGUGACCCUGAAGAACUGAGCCAGGAGCUAGAAAUGCUCGUGAGGAAGUUCCAAAAGUUCUCAAGACAUGGUCGUUUUGGUAAAUCCUCAAGAGGUGGUGACUUGAGAUCAGAUUCCUUAUCACAGGAUUACAAGAAGAGACUCUGCCAUAAAAGCAAAAAACCUGGACACUACAUUCAAGAUUGUCCUCAGUGGGAAAAGGAAUUGAAGAAGAAGAAGAAGAAGUACCAGGAUUACAGUUCUGAUGAUUCAAAGAAGAAGAAGAAAUCUUCAAAGUCCUCAUCAUCAAGACCCUCAAAGUCCUCAUCUCACAAGAAGACAAUGUUGGGGAUAUCGCUUAUCGGGAACUUAUCGGUCGACCCAUGAUAAGGGGUAAAUCAGCCACUUUAUCGGCAUAUCAACCGAUUUAUCGCCAUAUCGGCUGAUUUAUCGGCCGUUUUAUCUUAUCGGUUUGGCAGCGGUAAGCUAUAAAUCGGCCGAUUUAUCGGCAUAUCGGAAGAUAUCUUGAACAAUGCAAGAAGAGCAGCUCCAAGAAGGCUCGAGCAUUCAUUGGCAAGGAAAUGGACUCUAAGGCUGAAUCUAAAGAAAAUGAGGAAGAGGAGGAAUCUGAGGAGUUAGACUCUGGUAUGGCGAGCCUAGCCCUUGCAACUGCUUUCGUCAGCAAGUCUAUCUUCAACCCUGAAGAAAUGGACCUCCCCAACACUACUGAUGACGACGACGAGGACUACGCUCCCACCUAUUCCUUCAUGGCAAAAGGCUCAAAGGUACUCAAAUAUCCCUCCUCUGAAUCUAGUGAGGAUGAAUCUGAUGAAAACCUCAAACCCAGCUAUUCUAAACUUUCUAAGAUUGCUGUGAAACUACAAAAGUCUCUUGAAAAGGUUCAAAAUAUGCUAGAUAAAAGCGAUGGUAUGUUGGGUGAGGAAAUGGAUCGCACUAAAAUCUUGACUGAAAAUCUUCAAAGACUCCAGUCCAAGUUUGACAAUCUUCAAGGUCAUCAUAACACUCUCCUAUCUGAUCAUGAGAAGCUUUCUUAUGAAUUUCUUCAAAGAAAGCAAGACCUUGAGCAGUUAAGAGUGAGUUAUGAAGAUCUUCAGAAGGAGCGUGAUUCAUUACUCGCUCAGCAGAUCAGCGCUACUCAGGAUGAAUUUGUUCCUCCAUGUUUGAAGUCCAUUCAACGUGAAACUGCUAAUUCAUCACCUGAAUGCUCAAAUACUUCCAUUACUACAAAUUCUUCAACUGCCUCUGCUAUCACUAAUUCCUCAUCUGAGGACAUUGCCAGUAUUACUAAUGAUGCAGGGCUGAAGGAAUUGUAUAUGACAGGCAUGUACAAAAGCCUCAAAGGGCAUCAAGCUAUUUGUGACGUGCUUAAAAAGCAGAUCCUCAACAGAAACCCUAGGAAAGAGGGUAUUGCCUUUGAGAGGAAAAUCAAUGCUGAUGGGACCUACUGGAAACCUGAGCAGUAUCCCAAAACCUCAUGGGUUGCUGCAAAGGGACCUUCAGUGGAUCCAUCUACCUUAUCUGGCUUUACGUGUGAAUCUUCAUAUUCUUCUGAUGAGUCAUUUGACUCCAACUAUAAACUGUUCAAAAAUCAGAAUGGUGAAGUAUUUGCUAGAUAUGUUGGCGCUAACUGCAGGAACAGUCCUCCUAUGAAGAAAAUCUGGGUUCCCAAAAGAUGCCUUGAAAAUCUUCAGGUGAAUGUCAUCAUGACGCUACCUGUGAAGAAUAGGAACCCCAGAUCAAAUUCUUCAUAUGGACCAAAUUCUUCAUAUGGAUCCAAGUCCUCAUACGGACCAAAUUCUUCACGUGGAUCAAAUUCCUCAAAAGGAUCAAAGUCCUCAUAUGAUUAUCAUCAUGCUAAUAACUCUGUUUCGCAGGGAAGAUCUAAGGAUUAUGGAUAUGUGCAUUAUUCUUCAAAUUAUUAUGUUCGUAAGUCCUCGAAGAAUUUCUGUUCUUACUCUUAUGCUUACCCUAACCACUCUUAUGUGAAACGAAGUGGAUUGGCAUCUAUGCCACCUUUCUCUUAUGGAGCUCGUAGAAUGAUGAACUCUUUGCCACCCCUUCAGAUGUGGGUGGUGAAGAAAAAGAACUAACCUCAUAUGCAGGGUCAGGUCUCCACACGAACUUAAACGUGUGAUGAAUUUGCUAGAGACCUGAAUAUGCUUGAAAGGACGCAAGCUAAUCAUAAAGAAAUGAAUUUUCAUUUCUCACAUCCUCAUACUAUUUUAUCUGUUCUAUUUUCUGAUGAAAUUGAUGUCAUAUUGUUCACUGAUGAAGUAUAUGAGUUCAUAAGUUGCACUAAUUCAUCUGCAGGAUGAUCAACCCAAAGCCACUGAGUGGGUCCUCGAUAGUGGAUGCACAAAUCAUAUGACUGGUGACAGGAGCUUAUUAAUGGACACUUCUUUAUCUCCAUCACAGCUGAAGCACAUCACCUACGCUGACAAAGGCAAAAGCAAGGUAUUAGGUCUAGGUAAGGUUGCAAUCUCAAAGGAUCAACACAUGGACAAAGCCAUGCUUGUUGAGUCCUUAGGGUUCAACCUCAUGUCUGUCGCAAUGCUUUGUGAUCUUGAUAUGGUGGUUGUCUUUGGCAAGUAUCGUUGUGUUGUGAUCAUGGAAGCUGAAAAUUCCAAAGUCUUCGAAGGCUUUAGGAGAGGAGAUUUGUAUAUUGUUGAUUUAUUUACAGGACCACAACCUGCUACAUGUCUACUUGCAAAAGCUUCAGAAGGCUGGCUAUGGCAUCGACGACUUGGUCACGCUGGCAUGAGGAAUUUGAACACGCUCGCGAAGAAGAAGCAUGUCAUCGGCAUUGAAAAUGUCAAAUUCCUCAAGGAUCACUUAUGCGGAGCCUGUGAAGCUGGAAAGAUGACCAAGGCCAAGCAUCCAGCGAAGACUAUCAUGACUACUACUCGACCAUUUGAAUUGCUUCACAUGGAUCUCUUUAGCCCUACGCACUAUGCCACAUUUACCAAUGCUGCAUCCUUAUAUGGCUUUGUCAUUGUUGAUGAUUACUCUCGAUAUACAUGGGUCCAUAUUAUCACUUACAAAACUAAAGUGCAGGAAGUCUUCAAACGAUUUUCCUCGAGGGCUUCAACCAACUUUGGUGUGAAGAUCAAGCACAUCAGGAGUGAUAAUGGAACUGAGUUCAAGAACACUGGCCUUGAUGACUAUCUUGAUGAACUUGGUAUUACUCAUGAGUUAUCUGCUCCUUAUACUCCUCAGCAAAAUGGCGUCGGGGAGUGCAAGAACAUGACUCUUGUUGAGAUGGCCCGCACGAUGCUUGAUGAGUACAAUACGCCUCCUCGCUUCUGGCCUGAGGCAAUUGAUACUGCAUGCCACAUCAUCAACAGAGUAUAUAUUCACAAAUUCUUCAAGAAGACUGCCUAUGAACUCCUCACUGACAAGAAACCUAAUGUGAGUUAUUUCAAAGUCUUCGGUGCUAAAUGUUGGAUUAGAGAUCCUCAUCACAGUUUGAAAUUUGCACCGAAAGCACAUGAAGGUUUUAUGCUCGGUUAUGGUAAGGACUCGCACACCUACAGAGUCUUCAACACCUGUCAUCACAAGGUUGUUGAAACUGUAGAUGUGCGGUUUGAUGAGACUAAUGGAUCGCAAAGAGAGCACCUACCUCCUGUGACAGAUGAAAUACCUCUUGAGGAAUCUAUUAAGUUCAAGGCUACAGAGGAUGUCAUUCCUACUGAAGAAUCUGCUAAAGAAUUUAUUCCAGAGCAUGAGGAACAUCAUGAUAAUGCACCUGAGGAAAAUGGUGCUGAAGAAAAUGCUGAUCAAAUUCCUCAACGUCAACCCGCUCAUCCUCGCGUUGCAAAUGAAGUGCAAAUUGAGAAAAUCAUCAGCGAGAUCAACAUUCCAGGUCCUCUCACACGCUCAAGAGCUUCACAUUUAUCUAACUUUUGUGGGCACUUUGCUUUCGUCUCUAUCACAGAUCCCACUAAGGUAGAUGAAGCAUUUCUGGAGCCUGAGUAGAUUCAGGCCAUGCAAGAAGAAUUACAUCAGUUCAAGCUCAACAACAUCUGGGAACUGGUCAAACGUCCAGAUCCUCGCAAGCACAAUAUCAUCGGCACAAAGUGGAUCUACCGCAACAAGCAAGUUGAAAAUGGCCUUGUGGUGAGGAAUAAAGCACGGCUUGUAGCUCAAGGCUACACACAGGUUGAAGGAAUUGACUUUGAUGAAACUUUUGCACCUGUUGCUAGACUUGAGGCUAUUCGCAUAUUACUUGCUUAUGCUAACCAUCAUGAUAUCACUUAAUAUCAAAAGGAUGUGAAAAGUGCAUUCCUCAAUGGUAAGCUUGAGGAAGAAGUAUAUGUUGCUCAACCCCCAGGUUUUGAAGAUCCAAAGCAUCCUGACAAAGUUUUCAGACUAAAUAAGGCCCUCUAUGGCCUCAAGCAGGCCCCACGAGCGUGGUAUGAUACUUUGAAGGAAUUCCUCGUGAAGAAAGGCUUCAAACCUGGUUCACUCGGCCCUACUCUUUUCACUAAAUCUUAUGAUGGUGAACUAUUUGUGUGCCAAAUAUAUGUUGAUAAUAUUAUCUUUGGCUGUACUAACCAACGCUAUACUGAUGAAUUUGGUUAUAUGAUGAGGGAGGAAUAUGAAAUGUCUAUGAUGGGAGAAUUUAAAUUCUUCCUAGGUCUUCAAAUUCGUCAACAACACAAUAGCAUAUUCAUAUCUUAGGAGAAAUACCUCAAGGAUGUACUGAGGAAAUUCGGCAUGCAAGAUUGCAAAGGCGUCAAAAUUCCUAUGCCCACAAAUGGCCAUCUAUGCACUGAUGAAAAUGGUAUUGACUUUGAUCAAAAGGUAUAUCGCUCCAUGAUUGGUUCUUUAUUGUACUUAUGUUCAUCUAGGCCAGAUAUAAUGCUUAGUGUUUGCAUGUGUGCCCGAUUUCAAGCUACACCGAAGAAAUCACACCAUAAGGCUGUGAAACAUUUUCUUCGAUAUCUAGCUCACACACCAACACUUGGAUUAUGGUACCCCAAGGGCUCGACUUUUGAUCUCAUUGGAUAUUCUGACUCUGACUAUGCUCGUGAUCAUGUGGACCGCAAAUCAACAUCUGGUACAUGUCAUUUCCUUGGAAGAUCUUUGGUCUGUUGGUCCUCGAAGAAACAGAACUGCGUAUCUCUGUCUACUACUGAAGCUGAGUACAUUGCUGCUGG